This 60316-nucleotide long non-coding RNA is filed under the name Cucumis sativus (cucumber). RNAcentral's name for it is "long non-coding RNA (CSAT_LNC002166)". The stretch from base 34946 to 35018 matches the Rfam family "tRNA". The record is from RNAcentral. Lineage: Eukaryota; Viridiplantae; Streptophyta; Magnoliopsida; Cucurbitales; Cucurbitaceae.
UCAGAUAUGGUUUGUUGCAAGCUGCUCAUUAAAUUCAAAUUUUAUGUUCUAUUCACUUUAGUCCAUCUAGAAACUCUAAAGGGAUGUUGACUAUCGACUUCAACAGUUUGGCAUUAGAUAACUCAACUCCACCAAUCUUAAUAGCAUUCACUAUCUGUGCACCUAUUGAUGAACUCCAUCUUCCUCACUCUCUUUUGCUCAUUUUUCGAGAAACUCCAACUCUGCUCCCCAAACAAACUUCCUAACUUCAACUAAACAACUUUGCACUCAAAGUACAAAUUUUCUGACUUCAACAUAUUAACUCUAGACUUUAAAGCUCAACUCAACUGUCCAAACAAACACCCCUAAAAGUGAAAUAAUCCAUUAUCCAAGAAAAAUAACAUGAAAACUAGAUAUAUUCCAGAGAAUGACAGAAAAGAAGAAACAAUUUCAUAAAAUUACCAGUGAGGAUUCAUUUUGAGAUCUCAGGACUUUUAUUUGUCCACCUCUCCCGUCAGCACCAACGGCAAUCAGUUCACCUGAACGUGAACCUUGCAUUGCACUUGAGUCAUUGGUUUGUCCACGUUUGCACCAUUUACCCAAAUACAUAUUUGAUCCACUAGGGCCAAGUAGUCCACCAGAAAAAGACAUACCUCCUGGAUAUGGUAAUGUCACCACCUCAAAUAUGUCAGUAUUUAUCAGUUGCUUUUUUUAGGAAAAAGAAGAAACCAAGUAUGUGUUACCAAACUCUACGCUUAAUAAUGUACCAUUACCUAGCUUAUUGAGUGAUAUGUGGCUAGAGGAUUCUCGCCUAAUGUUAAUAAGGACAGCUUCAGGUUCUGCAGAGUCUUCAACCAACAAGGGCAUGCAUGCAUCCCCCGGGACAGCAGUUCUGACUAUAUUACUGACUGUAGUUGAAGGCAUAGGAUUUACUGAAUUGGUUGUUCUUUCUGAUGCCUUUUUCCGGACCAAAUUGCAGCUGGUCAACUGCGGAUGGUAAGACACUCGGUUUCCUUCCUCACUUAUUUGGCUUUCCAUGGUAGAAUCUUUGGCAUUCUCAACUUGAGAACAUUCUGAAGUUUUCUUAUUCAUUGAGGAGCAUGUGUUCUCAGCUAUAUCUACCGUGGUCAAAUGGCUUGUACGAGUAUCGCUUGGAAAGUCAUAAAUUUUCUUUUUUCUAGAAGAUAACGGUUCGUUGAUCUGGCUUGCAGUUGAAUCUAAAGUAUCUGUUGCAGCAGCGGACUUAUUUUUUGCUGAUACCAUGUUACAUUUACAACAAACACUACCCUGAACUCCUAGUUUUUUUGCGUCUUUCAAGCCUCUUAGAACUUCAUUAUCUUUUUCUUCAAUGGCUUUCUCUAGUUCUUGGACCCUUACCUGAUAAUAAUCAUACAACAUUAAAUCGGAGCCAAAGAAUAAGAGGAAAUUUUUGUUAUGAGCUCACCUUCAGCUUAUUUAUUUUCUCAUUUGCCUUCUCAAGUUUCUUACAAGAGCGAGCCUCUCCCCUUCCAAGAAGAUUGCACUUAGCCAUCAGUUCUUUAUAACUCCUGUGGAAAAAUUAAGAUUUUGUCAAAGAACAUUGAAAACGAAGAACUAGCCAGAGAAAAUACAAACAUAUUCCAAUCAUUGGUCUGAUCUUCAAGAAACAUUAUUAUAUACUUGAACAACAUGGCUUUUGAUUCAUUAAAGUUGCUCUAAGAUUUGAUUUAAGGCCAAAUAACACAAUUGUGAAAAGUUAAAUUCCAUUAUUUCAGAUUCCUUAGGUGAUGUGAGAUAUUGACCUAUUACGCAGGACCAAGGAUUUCCUUAGAAUGUCAAUUGUAUCUUUAUUGUCUGCUCCACUACCCAAUGAAGAAAGCUUUAGGACCUCCUCUUCAUCAAGAUCCACUUCAGAUAUUCUGUAAUAAAAAUGAUAACACUGUUGGUAUGCAAAAACACAAAAGAGGAAAAAAAAACCUUUUCUUUUUAUUUUCUAGCAACAAAACUCGCACUUACAACUUAAAAGCUGCAAGUUCUUUAGCUAAAGCCAUACUUCUUUCGUGCAACCUUUUGCACUCAACAGUUGUGUUUUCGAGCUCCUGCCAGAUCAGCAGGCAAACACCAUGAAUGUAUAACAUAAUCAGUUCGUAAAGGAAGAGAUUGCAAGGGAAAAAAACAUAAAAUCUUAAAAGGUAUUGGAAGUAGAGACGAAGAACAAACACAAGUUUUACAUGAAAACCCUAGUUCAAGGAGAAAAAUCAGUGCAAAUCUUUCUUACUACUUUCUUAUAAAACUAAUGAUACAAGCGAAGCGAGAAUUAAUUUGUAGGUAAUAGAAGCCUAAGUAAAAUAAUGAAAGAUAUUAGGACAACAUAAAAAGACCUUUGGACUUUCAACAUACAACAAACAAGCCCACUAGUUCUAACAAAAGGGAUUGUUGACCUCAGAUUUGAGAUGAAGCAGUUGAGACAUUGAAGUUUUUUGUUUCAUGGCAUCAUUCCUCAAUCCUACUUCUUUCUUCAGUUCAUCCUGGCAAAGUUGAAGCUGAAACAAGAUAAUGUGAUUAAGUACCACGUGUAUACAUGAAUGAUGAACCCAUCAAUAGUUAACAUGAGCCAAUAACAGCAGAUAAAGCUUUCUCUAGGAGCUGAAGAAUUCAAAUUUUGAUGUUCAGAAGAAAAUCAUUGCUGAAUGUCUCAAGUCGAGUCGUUUAGGACACAAGUAAACAAAGAAACUAUUAGUUCUGAAGUUAGAUUAUACUGAUCCAUGUAGAGAAGCCUCCUUGCUAACUACUCAAAAGAAUCAAAAUAUGCAUUAUUAUAAUAAACCAAAAUGUAGAAUAAAAACCAGUUAAAAAAUCAUUCCUUGAGAAACCAAGUACGUUUUCAAUUUUCAUAAGAAAGAUUAAAUAAAAAGUACAAAGCUAUAACUAGAAGCGGCGUCGCCAUAAAACAUCACCUAAGCCCCAACGCAACUAAAGAAAUACCAAACAUUCCUCAAUUACUAUCUUAUGAUAUAAGAGGAAUAGUUACAAACAGAAAACUCCUAUCAACCAAGCUCCAGUAGAGGCCAAUAAAAAAAUAUGAAACUACACCUACUUUCUGUAGCUACCUUACAAAGGCCCAGCAUUACUUUCCUAUCAAAUGUUCCAAACAUAGAGUAGUAAAAUCAUCACACCACACCACAGAUGGUCGAGGAUCCCACGUUGAAAAAAUUAAAAAAAGAAACCUCACAUUGUUUAAAAGAUACAUGGGUUACUCUCUCCAUGCCAAUUAGUUUUGGGUUGGAAUCCCACUUUAACUAAUAUGGUAAUAUAGCUUAUGAAGCCCAAAUAGACAUGCAGUCCAAAAAUGAAAAUUGAGACCAAUCUCAAAAUGGCGAACCCAAAGAGACACUUGUUGAGUGGAAAUAUUGAGGAUAUCACAUUGGAAAAAUUGAGAAACCGCAAAAAUUUACUAAGAUGGAUUACCUCCCUUCUUUUCAAUUGAUUUUGAUAUAGAAGCUAUAUCCUCCCAAAACAACCACUUAUAAAGACCUAAAGAAAGCACCAUUAAAACUAAGCAAGUACAACCAAAUGACAAUUAGUGCAAAUUCUAUCACUGUGAAAAGAAUCAACGCCGAAGACAAAGUGAAGACUAAACCUUUUCAAAGACUGCUAAUUUCUAAAGUUGUAAGCAUUAUAAAGAUUAGAAAUCAAACAUCCAAGCAUUCAGUAUCAAACAUCUAACCGUUCUAGUUUUCUCAACAAUCAAACAGAAAUACCUCCUCAUGAAGCUCUUUGAUAUCUUUCCCUUGAGUUUCCAAUGUCGAAUUAAGCACCGAUACCCUCAUCUCCAACCUCUUGACCUCACUUCUCAACAACUCCGGAUCUUUCUCAAUCCAAUCAGCCGGUUUCUUAGCCAGCAUUGAAUCAUUCGCAUCCCCCACAGAUUGAAAAUACAACCGCGCAACAUCUUUUCCCACACAGGUCUGCUUACACACAGGACAACUGUAUUUCUUCUUCCCAUUCGAACAAUACUCAAACCACUGCUGUAAACUAAAGAACCCCAAUUACAAAAUUUACAACUCCUCAAUGUUCCAAACGAACAAGGAAAAAAAAAAGUCAAUACAGAGCGAAAAUCAAUAAAUGGUUUCCUUACCAGAGCUCGUGGAAGACAUGGCCACAGAUUGAGAUGGAUUGAAGAUCCUCGAUGAUGGGUUUUAGAUCCUCGUAGCAAAUUGAGCAAAUGGUUUUGGCAAAACCGCAACCAUUGUCCAUUGAUUAUGCUUUCUGUAGGUUAUUGAAUGAAGAAUUUGGGAAAUGGGGUUUUGCAAUGUGUUAUGAGAAGAGAAUUGGAGGGAAAUUUUGGAGCGGAAAUAAGAGAUAUUUGAAAAAGGAAUUGAUUGAAACCAUUGUUGUAGAGCGGGAAAGAGUGGGAGAGUUUUCACGAAAAUUCAAUUUUUCCCUCUUCUCUUUUCUGGGAUCUCAUUUUGUUCUUUCUUUUUUUUUACAAUUAAUUACAAUUCCACAAUUUUAUUUUUUCAAUUUCUCAUUAAAAAGAAAAAAGAAAAUAAUCAAACAUAGCAUCAAAAUAUUUACCCUUUGUACCAAAAAAGUAAAUGUAAUAAAUUUUUGUUGGAUUCUUUCGAUAAACGGUAGCAAUUUUAAGCUUAAUAAUUAAGUAUAUAACAUCGAAUAUAAGUGAAUAUUAAUUUGUGUAGUUAGAAUUAUUUUCUCGUACAUUCUUAUAAUAUUUUACUUGUCUAAAAAAACACAAAAUCUAAUGAAAAAUUACUAUAAAACUUAUUUCACCCAAAGGAAUUAAUAAUAACAUGAAAAUUGUUUUUGAUCCUUUUCAAAUUAUUAAAACUUUACUUUACUUAUAUGUGUGUAAGAGUAGGUAUCAACCAUAAGUUAAAAUCAAUUUUACCAAUAUUUAUAGAUUCUUUAUGGUUGAACAAUAUAAUGAUAAUAAUUUGAAUAUACGUGUAACGGUUUAAAUCAUAUAGUAUUUUUUAUCGAAAAGUCAAGUAAUUGAAUCUCUAAAUAUUUUAUAUUUACCUAACAAUAAGCUUCGUCUUUCUCAAACAAUAUAUAAUAAGGUAUGUUAGAUUUUGAUAUUUUGGUAAAAGAUCAAAUGAGUGAAACAACUUUUGUAAAGGCUAUUCGUAUAUAUAGAACCAAAAGAAUAGAGGAUAUAAGAAGAUUAACAUACUCUAAAUUUCACAGCGUGUACAAAAAAAAACAGCCUUCGAAUGAAGAACAAAUAUAGUAUUAAAGUCUACAUCUUCAUCUUCCUCUUGCAUUUCUGAUCCUCAAUUGACUUACUGAAUAUAUUGAUCACGAAUGUACAAUUCAUCUUGACAACAACGUUUCUCCCUAUAAAAUGCAACAACUUCACUUUUCCUGGGAUCCUCGAGAAGCUUCUCAAUCUCACCUUCCCCAAGCUCACAUCGUUGUUGAGGUUCGACAAAACUCGAUCGGCAACGAUGUCAAUGGUGACAUUCAUUCGCACAGUUUGUCGUGCCUUGGCUUUCCCCGACGGCCCUCGUACCUCCCCUAUCACUGUCUCAUUGAUGAAUAGAGUUGUAGUGGUGUUACUGUACUUGAACGAUGCCAUGUUGGGAUUUUUUACUGACACAUCGGCAGUCAGUGACACGUUGGAUCCUGGCUUUGGUAUGACAUUGUUGAUCAACUCCAGCUUUGUGAUUGAAACUCUAUUCAUUUGGAUUAUGGGAUCCUUGAUUUGAAAUAGAGUGAACAUCAAGAUGAUGAUGAUUACUAUCGUUGGAAUCAUGAGAAGAGCUACUAUGAAACUGCAACAUUUUAUGAAUCUUUUUCGUUGGAUUCUCUUUAGAUGUAAUCUUGUUUCGCCGUUGUCGCUACUCAAACGAUUGAGGGUAGCUGGAGUGAGAGGCUGAGCUUGGUCCUUGUCCACCAUGGUUAUGGAACAGUGGAGAAAAACUUUAAGGUUAUGAGAGAUUUUAAGUACUGCUUAUUGAGUUUUGUUUAUAAGGCGAUGGUUUAGGGAAGUGCCCAAAAUUUGAAGCCAUUGAACAAUGUUGAAUUAAAGGCAAGCAAAGACAUGCAUGACUUUUAGGCUAUGAUGUAGUGGUUGUAAAUAUGCACUUAAUGAAGAGAAGAGUGGAAAAAGAAGUCAAGUUGUUCAUAUUGUAUUCUGUGUUUGUGUUAAUUUGUAAUUGGUCCAUGUGUGUGUUUUGUGGGAUAAGUAGGGACAAAUUGCUUUAAUUAUGUGUGAAAAAUAUUGUUUCCAAAUAAAUUGGAUGGGGCCUAAGCUUUGACAAAACAAGCUACAAAUAAGUUUGAUAUCAAUCCCAAGUAAAUUUACGAGGCUCUAAAAUGUGAAAGUUGUUAAAAAUACGCGAACCACUUUAAACAUCGGGCAUCGUAACAUCAACUAAUUAAACCAAAAAACGACACCGAUCCAUAAGUUAACUAUCACAAUUUUAAUUAAUUUUGGUAGUAGAAGUCAUACUUUGUAUGAGUGGUCGACUUUGAAUGUCAUUGUCCCUAUUGAUAUCAGAUUUUGGACAAGAAAAAGGUACACACGACUUCCACGUAACAUCAACAGUAAAUUUAUUUGAGAGGAAAAAAAAAUGUAACUUAUGGAAGCUAAAAAAUUUGAGAGUAAAAAUCAAAUUACCUUGUACAAAAUGAUAAUGAUAUAUUAUAGAGAAACUUGACCUAAUUUUGUUACUAGAAUUUGAAAGUAGCUUUGGGAUAAUUAAAUGAUGUUUAACUCGUGUUGGCAUCAACCUUGUCAAGAUUGAACUUCUUAUUUAAACAAUAUUGCAGAUUAAGCAUUUAGCAAAGGUUAAAUAUUGGAUCAACUCCAAGCCAACACUUUUUCGUUCCCAUUUAUAUCAAACGUAUGUUCCAUCAUUUAGUCAAAAUUUAUCCUUAAUAAUUCUCAUUCAAUAGGGAAUUUCUUACUAAUAUUUUCUUUAAAUAUUCAAUUAGGUAACAUUUUAGAAGUUUGUUCUUUUUAUAUAUCACCCAGUAGUAACAUUUUGAAAGUAUAAGCAAAACAAAUAUACUUUUCUCCCAAAAUUAAUAACAAUAAAAAUUAGUUUGAUAUUAUCUAAAAAAUCCACAAAAAAAAGAGUUUUUGUUAUGUGUCAUAAAAGUUUCACCGCCACGUGGAAGGUCUCAAGCGUAAACAGCCGUCGUAGUUUGACACUCUGGCCUGGCCACGUACUGUAGAAUUGCCACCUCGUUCAUCCAUUUAUAUAAUAAUUAAAUUUCUUCACUUACUUUCUAUUGCACUAUCCAUGGCGGACUCUUCAGAAACUGUACAACCCAAGGCGGUGGAAAUCGCCGACGAUAAUAUUAACAAUGAUCAACACCCCAUUACUCCAUCUCCCCCGCCAUCCUCUAAUUUCAACAAAAUGGACCAUUCUCUGCCACUUUCGCCGGAGGACGAGACGGCAGAGAGUUCUCAAAUGUUAGAGAAAAAGCAACCUGUUCAUCGUGUUCUUGGUGCUGGAAAGCGUACGGCUAAUCCCUCUUUGUGUUUUUCCAAUUCUUGUAUUUUUUUUUUCAUCUCUAAAAAUGAGUGAAAAUGUUUACAAAGUAGAACCAACUUUUAUAUUCUAUGUUUAUAUUUCAUACAUAAAUUAUGAUAUUUUUUGAAAUUAUUGUUUUAUUAACAUACAUCAUCUUAUGUAUAUAUAUAUACGUAUGGAACUCGAAUUUUUGUUGGUGCAUCAUAUACUGUUAUGCAUUUAAUUUUAUUAUGCUUGUUCAGUUGGUGACAUUUGGUCUUUUUCUUUUUGUUUUGGAAUUAUGUUAGUACUUCCAUAAGUUUUGUUCAAUAGUUUCAUCUUGUAACAUUGCAAAUUCAAAACGACCCUAAGUGCUUAUUUUUAUCCAAACCAAUAAAUAUUGGAGGCAGCAUCGAAUGAGGUCGUGCAUGUUGAUUAACAUUUGGCAUUAUGUAAUGAUCUUGUUUUUGGUAGUUGCUGACGGGUUGUUAUGGCGGGACAAGAAGGUGUCGGUUGCGGUUGUUGGUGGAGCAACGAUAGUUUGGGCGUUUUUUGAAUUGCUUGAAUAUCAUUUGCUUCCAAUCUUAUGUUAUGCGUUGAUCGUGGUUGUUGCUCUCUUGUUCCUUUGGUCCAAUGCUCAUAUACUCAUCUACAAGUACGUUUCAAUACCUAAAAUCUCUCACUUUCAUUAAGUAUGAUGGUAGUGUAUGCUUGAACCUAGCUCUUACAAAAAAAAUUGAGUGCAUUAAUAGGAGCCCUCCUCAUCUUCCGGAAGUUCGUAUUAGGGAGGAACCAUUUCUACAGGUAGCUUCUGCAGUAAGGACCGAGAUCAAUCGGGCCAUUGCGAUCUUGCGUGAUGUUGCAUCUGGGAGAGAUGUGAAGAAGUUUAUUGCUGUAAGUGCUGUUAAAAUAAACUGCCCAAUGCACUAAUUGCCUUCAAUACUAUAUGAACUUUUUAACUUUAGAGCCUACUUAAUUAGAUUGAACUGCAUAAUCUUGUUUUUUUAUUAAUUUUUUGAUCCAAUGAAUGAAAUAGCUCCAUUCAUUUGAUAUGUUCAGAUUAUUUGUUUUAAUUUUCUCUACAACAUUUGUUGUACUUAUUAUAAGUUCAUAGAAAUCAAUCCUAACCUUAAUUAACAACCUACGUGAUCAUGUUUAUGUUUAUUUAUAAGAGCAAUGACGAGGCAAAAAAAGCACCAUAUGAUGGGCUAUGCAGCCCAGUUGUAACCAAGUAUUCUCAUAUAUUCUAAUAGUGUUGAGUUUUACAAUGUCAGGUGGUUGUUGGCUUGUGGUUCCUAUCAGUAGUAGGAAAUUGGUGCAAUUUUUUGACCUUGUUUUACAUAGGUAAGAUUUACUUUCACAAUACACCUCGAAACUCCCUGACCAUUUCGACAUUACUCAAUUUUUUUCUUCUUUUUUUACAGUUGUGGUACUGCUGCACAUGGUACCGGUCUUUUACGAGAAGUACAAGUACAAAAUCGACUCAUUUGCGGAAAAGAUCGUGGCCGAGAUUAGAAAGAAGUAUACAGUUUUUAACGAGAAAGUGGCGAGUAAAUUUUCCAAAGAACCAUUAAGAGACAAGAAGGAUUGAAAGAAAGGGAGGAAAAGAGUAUAAUGUGUGUUCUCUUUUGGACUUGAAAGUCUUCAUUUUCGUUCUGGUUAAUGUUGUGUAAAUGUUUUGAUUUGAAGUUCAAACCAAAGCUUAUAUGUGUCCUUGUACAUAUCAAACUUUUAGUGUAAGGUUACUUCUUUUCUUGAAUUUGAUUCGGUAGAUGGAUUUUGAAUAGUGUGGUGAAUUGAUGUGGUUGUAUUAUGUGGUGAUCGUUGAGACUUGUAUGUGACAAAAUUGACUAGGGAAUGAAUGUGAAUGGGUAUACUUCUGCCUAUAAUAUCUUGAUUGUUUGCCAAGUAAUGUUUAUGAUUUAUAUAGUACGUUUGCAAUGGUUGUGAGUUUGAAAAUUCAGGUCGGCGCUAAGGUUAUAUAUGAUCCGCCUCACCAAGUUCGAAACCAGCGAGUUUCUGACUUCUUUGGACCGUCCUGUCUAACUCGAGAGUACACACUUAAUGUAUGUAAUUUGAACGGGGUGGAUCGGUCUAACUCAGAAGUAGACAUACACCUUUGCAUGAUCGCUAUUGCUAUUUCAUUUAUCGAUCGUAAAUUUAGGUUCAUUCUUCAUAAAUUUAGAUUUCACAUACGUUUUAACCAUAUCAUGGGCAUAGUUGCGCUAUACUAUACAGUAGAUUAUUAGUCUUAUUGUGCAAAUGAGUGAGCAAGAAUGAGUGUUAUUACGCUUUGAGGUCGAUGUUUUAUUGAACGAUCAAAAUUGUAAAUUUUCUAGUUGCAACUUUAAAAUGGAGGAAAUAUGUCAUUUGUUCCUUUGUAAAGCGGGAUGCUUAUGAAACUUGCAAUCAUUAGCACAAGAGCUGUGCUCUAGAUCGUGAUUUUGCACGUGAGAGAAACAAAAAUAUUGAAACAAAUAUGAACAAAAACACCCCAUUUAUUCGAUUCUUUGCACAACAAAUGAAGUUUCAAGAUAUCGAAAACAUAAAGCUGUGAGACUUGUAGCUCUUCAAACGACUGCACCCGGAUAACCCAACACUAACCACCCAGUAAAAGAAUAAAUUGAACAUCACAUGGCUUUAUCGUCAUUAACAAACUCAAUACUCUGUAGUUUUCUAUUAAUUUGAAAACGAAAGAAAAUCUCAGUAUUUCGGAAGCGGUCUUGAGUUAUAAGUGUUCUCAGACGAUGAUGAUGUGAGAGGAACUGUUGAGAACUCAGAAUCAGAGUGGUGUCUUGAAAGGCGAAAAUCACUGCCAAAAGGAAGGUGAGUCGAUUGAAGAUGAGAAGGAAAACCUGUUCUUGAAGGAUUGGGUGUCGAACCAAUCGUCUUCGUUCUGGGAUCAAGUAACGGUGAACCAGCACUGGCAACAUCUGAGCUGCUAGAUUGGGAUGCUUCCCGAAGCUUGAGGCUUUCCUCGGCUUCUCUCUUCUCUCUCUCCUCAUUCUCCUUGAGAAGAAAGUCAACCCAUAAAUCUGCAAAGGACUGAAAGGAAAAUCCAAGCUUAGAACAGACUUUUACUUUUAUUGACGAAGUUAAAAGAAUUAAAAUGUUACCACUUAGUGGAGAUCCCAAAACCAUAUAAAAAUGUAAAAUUUCUAAAUAUGUAGGUUUAUUCGAGAUCAGUCUUCGAACACUCCGAAAAUAAUAGCAAUAAAUUACUGCUACGGUCCCCUGUACUAGCAUAUCAUCAUUUUGUUGGAUAGAUGAAUACCAUGACCGGAUAUGUAUAUUAUUAACGAAAUGAAGUGAGCAUAUCUAUGGCCAUCGUGGGUUUUGGAUGUGAUCAAAAUUGAUGAUGGAAUUAUAAUAUGAACCGAAGUAUGUUCUUUCGUGAAAGUGUGGAGACUAAAAUGUUUUCUUUUGGAACUUGACCACAAUGAAUCUGAAAACUCAGAGACCAAAAUAGGAUUUCCUUGCCCAAUAUCUCAAGAUCUUACCAAAAUAGAAGUUACAAAUACUUUUGUCAUGUAAUGAGUUGACACACCUGAUUAUCAGAGGCCAUAUUAGCUGGCGUCUCUGUUGUGCUUCCUCCCAAAAUCCCGCCCACCAGGCGUCCAGGAAGGCCCAAAACUCCACGUACAACACCUUUGCUUGGGCCUUGUUUAGCAGCUCCUAUCCUCAGCUUCUCAUCUUCAGAGAAUCCAAGCAUACGGACCAUAAGAUCCAAAACCUGCAUGAGCAAUGCACAAGAACCAAGUGGAUGAAAAGUUUUAAGAGGGGAAAAAGAGCAGUUAUGAUUUUGAUUCUAGUCAAACCAUUAUCUAUUCAAAUAUCAUCCCAACCAACCAAGUUGCCUAGUCUAAAAUAACAUGUUUGUAUAUUGUCCACAUAUCUGCAGACAUUGUCAAUGCAGGGGACAUAACACGAAGCUUACAUAUGGAUAUGUUGAUUAAAAAUAAAUAAAAAUACCUCUUUACUGUGGUUUCUCUGGAAGUACGUCACCAGUAAUUUGAUCACAAUACGCCUGCCAAAACCUCCCAAUGAUCAUCAGUAUUACAACUCCACAUGGUCGAAUUGCACAGAAACAACACAAUUGAAUUACGUACUUCAAAAGAGUAGAUACAAUGGGAUAGCCAGAGUUUCAAUUUGAAGAGACAAUAAUGGCUAGUCAAUCUAACAAUGGUUGGUAGCUUAUCUUUGUGGAACUUAACAACAGAUCUCUCAUCUGCAAUUUGAAAAGGCAAGUACCAUAUGGAUACCUCGUCUUUCACAGUCCUAAUGCAUCUGAUAUAUUAGUACCUAGAUGAUAUGUCUUGAAACCAUCUUGGUGUUCUCUUUCCAAAGGAAUGUAUCAUUAACUAACAGUGUUCCUUUAGCUAGCCAAUAUGUCUCUUUGACACAAAUUUCAGCGACAAAGUUUCAGCUGUGAUUCACUCCUAAUUGUUUCAGUCCUAAUGCAUCUGAUAUAUUUUGUGGACUACAGCUAUCUGUUCUUUUUAAAAUAAAACACAACUUGUCAUUGAAUUAAUGAAAAGAAAGUAAUGCUCAAAUCACAAAGGACUACAGCUAUCCUGUUAAACCUUUGGAGCAUUGAAGCUAAAAAGAUGCAACAAAAUUUUCAACAAGGCUAACGUUUGAAACAGGGAUGCAUAGGUAUAUUGGAACAAUUGUUAAGGCUAAAUUAACUUUUCACACAUCACACGUCAAUGAAAAGUUACGUCUUUUUUUUUUCAGAAAAACCAAAAACAGAAGCAAAAGGUAUCCAGAAGUAGAUUUUUCGAGUGCAAUGCCAGUGGGUGAGGGAAAUGAGCAGGGGUGUAAAUUCCCAACAACAAAUAUUUACGAGGAUUUACCUGUCAACAAGAAAAUCUGAAUCCACUGACAUCCUAUUCAGCCUUGUCAUACUCUGAUCAAGAGCACGGCGCAGCUUUGAAUUAUCUUCUUCAAGUUUAUUAACUCUGCUUUUCCAUUCUCCCAAUGCUCUUUCAGAAAUUGAAAGCUUUGACAAAAUUUCUUCCUUCUCCUUCUUUAACGCAUCUUCUCUUUGGUUAGCAUCCUGAGCAAUGAAACAUAGCAUUAAGCAAAAAUGAGAAAAAUGAACAAAGGAGAAAAGUGACAAGCGUUGGCAAAUUUAACUGUUCACAUAUCAUCCAAUCUCGUCGGUAACCUAUGAAAUCAAUGUGACUCCUUAAUUAAAAAAAGUAAGCUCGUAAAAAUCAGAUGUGAGAUGAUAAUUCUGAAAGUCUAGACACUCAAAAGAGUACGAAAAUGAUAGAAAAUCAGAUGUGAGAUGAUAAUUCUGAAAGUCCAGACACUCAAAAGAGUAUGAAAAUGAUAGGUCGAAGACAAGUGAGAACUAACAAAUUUCUAAAACUAUCUAUUAUAGACUUGCUAUAUAUUAACAUUUAAUUAGUUUGUAUUAAUAUUAAAAAUAAAAUUUAAAAAAUUCUGGCAAGGGAUCCAAUCCCCUAUUCGAGAAUAUUCUCUAAAACAUGAAAUGGACUGGAAUAAAGUUCUAUUCUACAGAGAAGAAGAUUGUCCUUAUAAUAUUCACAUAAACAGAAAUACAAAGACAAGCCUCACUUAGAAAACUAGGAGCUAAGGCAUGUUAUUGAUAAAAGCAUGUACAGUUGUCAUAGUCAGAAACAGCAUACUUUUAGCAUUUGAGAUAAUUUAGCUUCUUCUUCCCUUUCCCGAGCCAAAACACUCUCCAAGUGUUCCUAAAGUUCAAAGUAAGAAUAAGAUUGCAGCACAAUCAAAUAAUGGCACAGUUAGAUAACCAUUGCAUAUUGCUAUAAAUUGUAGCAAAUUUAAUUUAAAUUUCAUUUUUCUUUACCUUGGCUUCUAUUUCUGCAUAGUACUGGCCGAGUGCAGUUUGAAGGUUCAAUAGUUCGAUGUUCUUGGAAUCUAUAAUACUCAUACAGUUUGCAAGUUUUCUGUGAAGAUCUUCAAUAAUUUCUUUAGAUUUCUGAAGUUCAUUGUUACCAUACAUCUCAGCCUCCUUCUGCAUCGCAAUUGCCUGAUUCAAUGCUUUCUCUAAAUGCAUUAUCUGACCCCUCUGGUAUUCAUUAUUAUGACGAAGUUCUUCAAUUAUUCUGCUAUCUUCAUCCAUCUUUUCUGAUUCCUCAGAUUCCUUGACAGAAUUCCAGAAAUAAAAAACCACUCAGCCACAGUAGGUUCUAAAAUAAACACUAGCACACAGAAGAUCCAAAGGUUUGCAAGAACCCUUCAAAAAUAAUAUAGGUAGAAACAAUGAUAAUUAAUCUACAAACAGCUAGUCUGAAUCAAUAUAAUCACUAAGUACAAUCAAGUUCUCCAUUAAGGAACCUAUAAGCAUUGAUAUUUGAACACAGGCAUCUAGUUCCUCCAAGAAGAUUGAAUCACUGAAGAGAUUUCAGUACUCCAUUCAAAAAAAGGAAAAUGUAGGGAGAUACUUUGUGGUUCUAUGCACUGUCCUUAACUUAUCCCACUUCUUGAAUGAACAGGAUAAGAUUAUAACGCAUUUAGGCAUUUAGGAGUCCAAAUUCAUAACCAUAUCACAGUUCAAUUAGUUCAAAUGACAUAAACUUAAAUAUUGUCACCCACAAGAAGAGUUAAGACAGGAAACCUUUUCCAACAAAUGCUGCUUGAGACGUGAUAGUUCAUGCGCAGCCUUGUCUCUCUCUUGCUGCAUUUCCUUCAAAUCUUUCUUCAAUUUUUGCAAUGAUAGGUCCCUAUCUUCUUUUCCGAGGGAAAUUCCAGAUGGACCCAAUUUCUACUUAAAGAAAAAGUAAAAGAACACAAUAAGAAGCCACCCUGAAAAUUUUGACCAAAAAAAAAAUCAACCUGAACUACAUUAACGUAUUUAACCAGUAUAUGCAGGCAAUUUUAACAAAUGCAAAGGAUACAAGCAGACACAUUGGCAGUGAUUUCAUGAGAAAUCAAACAAUCUGAACAAAUGGUAAACAGAACAAACACCCUUCCAGAUUAUGUGAAUCAGAAUUACCUCACUAGAAUCACUUAGAUGCCUAUUCACCAUUUCCAAUGAUUUUGAUGGGGUUUCGACACCUGACAACUCUUGGCUCUUUUCCAAUGUAUCUUUGAGUUCCUUUUUCUCCAUCUGUACAUGAGAAGCAUCCAAUACUAGAGAUUGAAAACACAGAAAUGUGUAUAAUUGAAAAAUACAUUUCUCACUUAUUCCAACCAAAAACUAAAAAUGAUUUAGUGACCUCCAAAGUACUUUUUUCUUUCUCCAAUGUUGUAAUUAAUCUCUUCAAUUCCUCCACAUUAUCAUCAGACUUCAUCUUCUCUCUUCUAUUCAACUCAACUUGCAAUUGCUUUACUUCUAGUUUCUUCUCAUUCAAUUCUCUAAGAAUGUCACUCAUCUCCAACGAUGCCUGCUUAAGAAAAGGUAUAAUGUUAAUAUGCAUAAAAAAACAAAGGAUACCAGAUACAGGAACAAACAAACAUCCAUAUAUAGAAGACAUAUAGAAAUAUUAAAAAAAAUGAAUUGACCUCCAGUAAGAUGACUAGAAAGUAAUCUAAUCAGUUCCACUUUAAUAAGACAGCCCUCUCCAAUUCAUCCUCUAAACCUAGAAUAGCCAGCAAGACACGUCCUGUUUGAACGGUUGAUUCGGGGUGAGUUAUGCAAAUCCUAUAUUGGUGAUGUUAGGUAUUCCUGUAGUCAAAGUGAAUGCUAGGCUCACCUAAACUCUAAUGGCAAAUUACAUCAUAAAAACACCAAGAAGAGAGCUCUCCUAGUACUUUCAUUAGUGUCUACAAAAAGAACAAAAAUGCAUAUAAAACUGUGAUUCACUUCACAGCAGUUUUUUUUUUCUCUUGCAAAUAGCCAGCAAAGGAUAACAGGGACGUUCUAUGAGUUGGUUGCAGAGAGAACAGGGAAGUGACAUUAUGAGUGUUACAAGAUUCUUUUCAGAGUGGAACCAUCAACGCCCACAUUAAUGAGACUUAUGUUUGCCUUAUUCCUAAGAAAGUGGUUACCUCCAUGGUAGCCGACUUUCCGCUUAUUAGCCGCACCAGUUGUCUUCACAAGAUUGUGGCCUGUGUUCUCUCAAGCCACCCUCUCCACAAUGAUCCAACAUACCUCUCUUUUCAAUUUACCGAGUCAAGUGGCUCAAAAGGUGGAAAGGCUACAUGAAUUUUAUUUGGGGAGAAAGGUCAAAUGUUCAAGCAUACACCUAAAAAUUCUUUUUGGGCCGAAUUAAUUUAUUUGCUUUAGAUGAUUUCCCUAACUAGAAGGGUUCUAAUAACAGGCUCUUCACUGUAAAAUCUUUUUUGCAGGAUACGAUAAUCUUCAUUGACCUUAUACACUUCUCUUUUGACUGAAACUAUUUGAAAAAGAGGCUACCCAUAUCGGGUCUUAAUUUAUUCAGACCUCUUACAGAAAUGCAUGCUCUACACGGUCAUCUCCCCCAAUUGGUGCUCCUUGUGUAAGACUGGGCUGCAAAUUAAUCUCAAAGCCACAUCUUUCUUCAUUACCCCUUCACUCGGGUUUUUUGAGACGAGAAGGUAAUACAGUUCGUCAGCAGUUUUUCUAUCAUCUCCUUGUGGAGCUCACUUUCAGAAACAAACAAAAGUUUUGCUUUGGAUGAGCCUCUUUAGGCCCUAAAUUGCGAAAGAAUGGUUCUUCAACAACAAAAAAUAAGCUUUUGAUAAGUUCUUUCAUCUUGUUACUUACUGUGUUGUAUCUUGGUGCAAAUUGUCUAAUCUCAUCUCUUCUUGUAGCUCUGCUUCUCUUUAAAAUAAAUCAGGGGAGUGUUUCGUAAUCAUCAAGGAUUUUCCAUUCCUUUUUAAAAUUUCAUUCUUAUUAACAAAAAUAACAAUAAUUUAUCGAUAAAAAAGAGAGUGCCAUGAUUAGUAGUUCUCUUUGAUAUGUGGAUGCAUGGGACUUUUGGAUCCUUACAAAAGAGGAAAAAAUAAUUUACACAGGAGAGACUGAGUUAACUUCAAAACAAUUCACAGAAUACGUGAAACUAAAAGAGAAGCGAAGAACAAGUUGUGCACAAGGUAUACUUCAGUUUGAAAUUUCAACUCCAAGUAAUAACUCAUACUAAUAUUUAAAUUUCAAACUUACUUUGUCCUUGUUCAUCCGUAGAGAAUUCAACUCCUCCUGGAACUUUUUGUUCAAUUUCUGCUCCUCUGUAAUAGAGGGAGAUAAAAUCCGAUCAGGUAUCUAUUAUCAGUAGCAAGUCAAUGAAGGUGGAAGAACUUGAAAAUUUCAAUAAACAGGAAAAUAUAAAAAAUAGUAAUGAUAAAAUUUUAAAUUUUAAGGAGAAAAUGUAACCUCGUAAUCUUAAUUGCACAUCUGCCAACUGUUCCCGUUCUUGUUGAAGUUCCUUCCUUAAUUGUUUGUACUCAAGAGUAGCUUGCACAUCUUGCAGUGAUCCCAUAUUCCCUUCUUGCAAAUCUGCAAGCUCCUAGAAGGCAUUCAUAGAUCUGUUUGUCAAGUUCAUUCAUCAUUAACAAAUAAAACUAAGUACUCAAUUCAAACAAGUGAUAGGUUUUCUUAAUAGAAGAACAUUAUGAAUAUGUUAUUGUGAUAAUAAACAGGCAUUAGCAAAAUAAGAAAUAUUAAUAACUAUUAAGCCAGAGAUUGAAUGUGGUAUCGAUAAAAAUAUGUUAUUGACAUUACCAGGAGAAAAAUUACACAGGUGCUCAAGGUUCGAGAAGAUUAAUCUUUUUCCAAUACGAAUCCCAAUGGCCAAUAUAUAUGCCUACCUCAAAUUCCUCAAACCCACUCACUUUAUUAUAGUUAGCGAAUCCCCCAACAAAUAACCUAACGUCUAGGAUGCUCCUAUAUCAUUAGGGUAUUCUGAUUGAACAAUCAAAACCAUAUAGCUCGCCCCUUUCUUGACCGAAGCCCAGCCACUGUUUUUUCCUUUUUUUGGAAGAACCAGCCACCAUUAAUUUGAGAUUAUUGUAUAACAAUAAAAAAUCCAAAAAAUACUUGAACAUAAGAUUCUUAAUUAUUUAAUUUUGCCUGCAUAAAUUGGGAAAAAUGUAUCUCCAUAACAGGGAGUAAAGAGUUCCAUUACAGCAUCCUUUACCUGUGAAGUUGAAUGUUCUGGUACCAUCUUACUCAGGUAAUCAAGUUUUCCAGAGUGCGAAGCUCCAUUAGCAAUUCCAUCCUGCUUAGACACCAUACCAUUACGCCGGGUCUUCCCCCUAAGCAGUCGGCUAGGUGAUUGAUCGCUUCCCUACAAAAUUAUCGAAAUACAAAUAACACAAAAGGCAAAGAUAAAUCAAGAAAAUUAUAAUAACAAGAUAUGUGGCCAUGACAUCAUGAUAAUCUUUUUAAAAAUAAAAACUAAAGAAUAAUAUUAAUAAACUAUAUACAAUAGCCAAAAAUAAUAACUCCUGAACCAAACUACUCCACCACUUCUCAGCGAAAAGGCUUCUUCCAAAUUUUAGGCCCCAAUCCCCUUAAGCAACAGACUUCCAUUAGAUAUAACUGUAGAUAUGAAAUCUUGGAAUUAGCCACUUUGUAUAUUCUAAAAAACACCCGAUUAAAGAGGUGCACAUCAUGAGCCAAGGAUAUUUCUAGAAGAGAAUUUCUCCCUUACUAACCACUGAGGUGUAAGCUAAGAGGAUAAAAGGAAAUAAUUCUUCCAGAAUCAAACUUUAAAAUCUUUACUUUGAAUCAAUUGUCAAAUGCAUGGGAGAGCCCUUUAUUUAAAGGAAAGUAAUACAAAGGGUAGUAAAAAUGGAAUUAACCUAGAUUAACCACAAAUCCUCCCCACACAUCAAAUUGGUUUGUACCAUUUGUCCACCUCGGAGCAACACUUAGGCCUUAGCAAUAUUCAGCCAUGGCCUGUCCAAUUUAGAGAACCAUUUCUGGGUGAGGAUCCCUUCUUCCUUGGCUGCUUGGUAUUUACUGCUAUUACCAUACUAUUAACAUUCUUCUCAUUCAUAAAAUGGCCCACAUGGCUAAGGGCGAUGAAUGUUUGCAGAGAGGCCCCUAGUUCCAACUCCACCGGCAAAAAGGUGGUGUUCCACUUGAUUGUGUUAGUGGCUCCCUCGCUACCUCGUGAAAAUAAAGUCUCUGCAUUUUCUCCAGCUUCUUGAUAGUCUCUGACGAACAUUUGAAGAUGAAUAUACAGUAAAGUGUGAUUUUUUAAAGAACUCAAUUUGCUUGAGUCAACUUUUCACCUCUUGAGAAGCAUAAGCUCUUCCCACUCCAGAUCACUGACUCUCCCCGCCCAACAGCAUUGCCAGAUAAGACUUAAGAGAGAGACCAAGAUCCAACCUCACAACCCCACAUUGCAGGAAUGACCUUCACCUCCCCAACAUUCGCAUUAAGACCACACAAGAUAGGUAGAUUGAUCCUGAGAGCAACCAGGGCUUCGAACCGUGUGUCUCCUGUCAAAGGACCUGAGAGUUUGAGUUGGUUUGGCUUAACAUAUAGAACCCAUGUUUGCUACUGGGCUGUUAAGCCUCAAGUUUGUUGGGCAUACCUAGAGGUUUGAACACUACCCAAACGUUCUUUUCAAAGAGAAACAGAUUUCAUUGCAAUAAUGAAAUAUAUAAAAUGCUAGUGGAAGCUAACAAAACCCUUCCAAUUAGUAUAAAUCUUACAAAUGAAAUAAUUCAAAAAGACUUGCCAAGCUUACACCGAGUGGCUGUUGUAUAUUAUCCAAAGAAAAUACUGCCUAAAAUUACCACCACCCCAAACCCACUCCCUCCUUCCAAAAGAUAUCCCAAACCAAAACUUCUGAAACCUGCCCUUCAAGCUAUAACUCUGCAUAACGACUACAGAAACAUGAGCCUGCGACAAACCUAUGUACAAGACGCAUCCUCAAAUAUCAUUUAACAUCAUUCAAUGCAGAAUGAGAUACUUAGGCCAAAGCAGGGAUUGGAAUAGCAUUGUAACGUAAUUGACAAAAAUGUGAUAAUUCUGACACACAUAAGACAACCAAAUCAAACGCCAAUCCUACUACAUGUGGUGAUCUAUAAAGCUCACAACUUUCUUUCACAAGAGUCAAGCUCAUGAUUUUCCAUCUGCAUUCCAAAAAUUACCUUCAUUUCACUAGUUCCAUUUGCUGGUGAUUUGGAACUUUCAGAUUUAGGUGAAUUUGUAGCAUCCAAGCUUUGUUUUAGCGAGCCGUUUUCCUUGUUCAAUCGUAAGAUUAGCUCCUGCCAAAUGAAUAUGAAACGGGAAAUAACAAUAAAGGCUUGUUUAGUACGCAGAUUUGUUUUCUAAAACUAUUCCUUGAAAUUGUGAUCCAAAUUGUAGAAAUUUUGGAAACAACAUUUUUUAAGUUUUUAGUGUAUCCAAAUUUUGAAUUUGAAAUUUCAAAAUACAAAAUAACAUUAAAAAGAAUAAACAGCAUUGAUUAUUAUGAAGAUUUGUUUUGAAAGUACAGAAACUUAAAUGGAAUAAGUCCUUAGCAUAGGGACCAAAAAACUUGAUUUUCAUUAUGGAAAAAUGAAAUAGUGCACAAGCAUACAAAAAAAACCCAAAACGGAGCCAAACUACAAAAUAUGGGCACCAACUAAGAGAAACAAGACCUAUAAAAUACCAUUUAUAAAUAACAAAAAAUAUGCUUAUAAUUUUUUAGAACUCAAGGACACAGCUAUCAAAUCUAUGGAACAGAUCCCGUUAAAGUAAGGUCAUUAUUCAUAAAUUAAUAAUCAUUACUAAUAUUUGAGAUUGAACCCAGUAUUUAGUUGAUAACUACAACAAUAUUUAUGAUUUACAAAUAUGUUAUCACACAUUUAACCAAGAAAACCAUCAGAAGCAUUACUACAUACAAAUUACAUUUAAUCAUUGGAUAUGAGUCAACUAAAUUACAAAUUACAUUUAAUUACUCAUUUUAUAGAAAUGGAACUAUGAAUCAAAAGGGAAAACUCUAAGGAGCAACUAGAAUACCUCUUUUUCCUUUAGCAAAGCUGCAUAAUUCAUUGAUAAUGAUUUAAUAUUCCUCUCAGAUUCCUGAAGCCUCUUAAUUUCUGCUUUGUAUUGUUCAAUCUACGAGAAGCACAGUAAUUAAAAAUGCCAUACAUAAAUUAAAGUUAACCAGUUCAAAGGAAACUUAAAGAAAAUAAAACAUAAAAAUAUAGGCCAGUCAAAUUAUUAAACCACCAAUUCACCCAAAAGCUUAAGUUGGUGGUUGAAGGCAAAUUUAAUUAUAUAUCACCAAUACAAAUAAUGACACACAGAGGCACAGUAUAUGAACCUGGAUAAAUGCUAUGAGUUUCAAACCAACGAAAAUGGCGUAGUUAGAAGGUGCAUGACCAGCUAGAGGAAGACAAUUCACAGUCCCUAAUGUAUAAGAGACAAAAUUUCUGGCCUUAGACACAAAGGAACAGUGAAGAAACAAAUGGUCGAUAUGUUCAAUCUCUCUCAAACAGAAUUUAUAGCCAAAUGGACACAUAGUACAAGAUCUAAACUUUAUUUGGAGCAUUUCAUCAGUGAAAUAUCUCUCAAAUAAGUCUCUCCCAUUCCCCACAACAUUAUAAAUAAAUAGGAAAUAAACUGAAAUUCAGUGAAUAUCUUUUCAAGGUUUUCUAUAAGUGCCUUUAACCUUAUCAACAGUCUAUUCAAAGGGCAAGGACCAUGCUUGUUAACAAUAUCCUUAAUUCACAAUGUGUCCACUUCACGAUAGAACCACCAAAGACAUUUAGCCUCUCACACUUACAUUAUCUGUGCAAUGCCUAACCACUCUCCAAGUCCAACGGCCUAGAAAACACCUCCUAUCCCACGAGAUGGGAGCCAUAAAAAUCUCUCAUAAACUUAUCAAGAAGCUUGCUAACCAAGGUAUUCUCUGCCUAAUUUAGUUUAGAUCAUUAUAUCAAUAAAAGGUAUUGUUUUAGUUUCUAUAGUAUCGUAUUUUGAGCAUUGUACUUUUUUUAUUAUAUCAAUGAAAGGUCUUGUUCCUUUUCAAAAAGAAGCUUAUUAACCAAGGUAGGGAUUCUAAAUGGGGAUAUAAAGCAGGUUGGAAUGCCAUUCAGAAUAGAUUGAAGAUGAGUAAAAGUAACAUGCUAGGCUUACUGGCUGGCUUCCGUUUUGGUCUUUUCGUUGCAUUCAAGGUAUUAGUCUCUCAAGUUGGCUUUUUGUUUUGGUCUUUUUGGUGUAGUCAUGUUUAAAUUGCUACUUUCUAGAAUAAAUUUUUUAAGAAGUGUUGGUAUAACUUAUAAGUAUAGCUAAUAUUAAGAAAUUUUUUUAAUAGGAAAAUAUAUACAUGUAGGAACAUAUAUAUAUAGGACGACUUGUUCAAAACAAUUGAGGUUGUUUUUCUUCCAAAAUUUAUAAUUCCAAGUAUAGUAUAAUAAGUCACCUGAAACUGUCCUUGAAAAAAAAAAUUCAAAGCUAUAACCAAAAAGUUGUAUUUUAGAAUUAGCUACACCAGUAGCCCCUAGAAUUAAGUUUGAUUAGAAGAGUGUCACUAAUUAUCCUUGAGAAGAAAAGUUUGUGAAGUAACAAAUAUAGACAUAUAUAUAUAUACAUGUAUGGAGCCCCAUGACCAACCAAGUAAGCAACAGUGGCAUGAAGCACUAGAUCAUCCAAAACCACUAGGUAUUCCCAAACCAACCACUUACUAUUUUCCUUACUUGAAAUUAGAACCAGACUAUAUGUUCUAUUAACAUCAUAAUGCAAUGCACUUAAUUUAUUAAACCUUAGACCUUAACUAGCUGUUCAAACCCAAUCAAUACGCCAGUAGACAGAAAUUAGCUCAAAAUAGUGUUCUCGAUUUGUAACCAAACACUCCCCUCCCUGAACCCAAACCUCUACUUUGCCCACCCAUAUGCCAAAACUGAAACUUAAUUAACUUAUAAUCUCAUUGCAAUUUCAAGAUAUAACUAAACGAAACCAAUUCCCAAUAACAUGGUCAUAAACCCCUAAAACCAAAAUGCAUCAUCUCCCCAAAAUUCAGCUACAAGGAGAAAACCAAGUCCAUAAAAAAACAUGCACCUCAGGGUGACGGGCAUCUUCAAUAAUCCCAUUGGCAACCGGAGACCGUGUUACAGAAUUCGAAUGAGCAAAGCUAUGCGAGUUCCUCCGAUCAGAGACCGAAACGUCAGCAUCACCUCUAUUAGAGCCAUAGAUCGCAAAUUCCUCGUCUUCGUCAUCGUUGUGCACAUCGAGAGCUAUCUUAUUAAGAUUUUCUUUCAAAUUAGCUAUGGAGCUCCACAUCAUUGAGACACCAGAACCCCCAGGGAGUCGAAAUGGCUCCUAAAAAUCCGGUGUAGUGCCAAGAACAAUGGAAAUAGAAGGAUUUUGCACCGAAUUUUUGCAAGAACUGUAGAAUAAAUCAGAUGGAGAAACGGAAGGAAGUGAGUUUCGCAGAUCUGAGUCUAUGAGUUGGUGAUGGCGAAGACGAAAUGUAAAUUUGGUUCAAGAAAUGGAGAAAAUUAAUUCGAGAGAGAAACGAAGAAGAAAGGAUUUUGGUUUUUUGUUUUGUGCGUUAUGAAAUGUUUAGACUUUGUGAACAGUUCGUCGUCAUGCGCGGCAUUCUGUCGGUUUGGAUCAGUCGACAUGUCGUAUUUGAAUAAUAAAGAAUAGAAGUAAAUAAUAUAGAUUCUAAGGUAAGGGUUAUAGGAUUUGUUUUUAUUACUAAGGUAUAGGUUGAAAUUUUGCACUUCUUACCUAAAGUAAUAAUGACAAUUAAGAAAUACCAACACCAAUCAUCCAAUCAUAGUUGAGUGCAUAAGUUAUUAGUAUGUUUAGUUCAAUCAUAAUUUGCACUAGUUUUUCCUUUAAAAUUUCAAGAUUCAAUUUUUCACUUGUUAGUUUUACUAAAUAUAUAUAUGGUACUAAAAACGGAUCAUUUGUUGUUAGGUUACUAACAACACUCAUCGACUAUCGGCUAGUAGUUCAUAAGUUAAAAUUUACAAAAUUAGUCACUAUGGUUUCACUUUUUUUCGUUGGUUCCCAUAGUUGGAGUUCAAUUUUUAGUUUUGUUUGUUUGGUUUUGUAGUUUCUAAUUGAGUCCUUAUAAUUAUAGAAAUUUUGAUAAUUUAGAUUGUAUAGUUUAGUUAAACCUCACAAAAUAUGAUCUCUAAGAGGGCGUUUAUAGUGCUAAGUUGGUUAAAUAUAGACAGUGGAUUAUAAGAGAUGGUGUUUGGAUACAUUACUGUUUUAAUCUAGGUUAAACUACCACCGUGAUGUAAAUUAUUUUUGUCUUUUAAAAACUAACAAACAAUAUAGAAAUGAAAAAGAAAAAAGAUGAGUGAAAAUAAUAAAUACGGUAGUAAAUAACAUUUGAAAUAGUAUAGAUUAUAUAAUAACCCGCAACAAUAGUAUAGAUUAUACAAUAACCCACAACACCAACUUCUAGUUGGUGCCUCAAAUAUAUGAUCUCUAUUAUGUAUUAUACAUCGACAAAACUUUGGAUUUCCUUCCAUAUCUCAUUAAAUAUACAUAUGUUAUUAGGUGGAGGUUUAGAAGCUUGCUACCCUUUUCGCAAUCACACUAUUCAAAAUGACCUCAAUUUUCAACAAAUUAAUUUCUCCAUCUGUGGGUAAAUUUGCAGUCACUCAAAAGCAUUAAGACCUUCACGGUCAAAAACAAUCCAAUAGAGCCUUCCCCACCCUCGUCGUCCGAUCAUACCCUAUGAAAAUUGAGUUUCCAACAAUGAUGACCGAACGAACCGAAGGGGAAAGGGAGAGAUGAGGAAGCCUGAAAAAGAGAACCAACUAAGCACACCAACAACAUUCAGCCCACCCAACACAAUCGACAUUAAUAGGAGGUGUUUCAAUAUGGAUAGCCAAUUUGUUGAAGUAAAUCUCAUACGGAAGCUCCACAAGCAAGCACCACCGCAGAAUAGUUAGCAUACAAUCAAUCACGUUCCUUCCCCACAAACCUCUCCAUAAAUCCAUUAGAUAAUACAAAAGAAGGUUUUGCAUCAAAAAAUUUAUACAAAACACUACUUUAGGUUUUAAACCAUUGUGUCACAUUUCACAAUCAUUCCAUCUUUGUUUGUUUUUUUAAUUUAUAAGUUUUUUUUCAACUAACAAAUUAAAAAACCAAAGUCAAGCUUUUUUUAAAAAAAAAAAUUAAAUAUAUAUCUCAUUUUGUCUUUAUAACUAUUUGGUUUUUUCAUUUUUCAUUUUAGAAAAAAAUCAUCAACAUUACUCUAUUGAUUUCUUUAUUCUUACUAUCUAUUUCUUUAUUUUUGCUAUCUAAUUUAGAAAAAACAAAGUCAAAAUUUGAGUACUAAAAUCUUGUCAGUAAUCAUUCGGUAUUUUGUUUUUAAUUCCCUUUUUAUUUAGGAGAAUGAUAAAUGUAAUAGAUAGCAAAACCAAUCAGAAAAAUUAUAAAUGAAGCUAAUUUUUUUAACUUUGUGUUUAGUAAAUAUCAAAUUAAAACAAUCUUGUAAUUAGAUUAUUAAUUCUAUUUAGUAGCCGUUUUGCUUUGGAUUAUUUUAAAAAAAAUAAACUUCUAAAACUCCACUUUCAACCUCCAGAUUUCUACACAUGUUUUUUAAAAAAAACAAAGUCUAAAGCUAAAAACUAAAAGAAAUUGUUUUUGAAAACCGGUUUUGUUUUUAGUUUUUGGAUAGGAAGAAAAAUGCUUUUUAAAGAAAGUGAAAAGCAUAUAGCUGAGAAAUGGAGACAAAACAAGGGAAAAUUUCAAAAUAAAAUGGUUAGCAGACCUAAACUAAUGAUUUAAGUGAGUGUUCAUCUUACUGCCAUUUGUGUUAUAAUAAUCCAAUCAAAUUGUGUCAUAUAUGUAUAUCGUGUCGAAAAUUAGUUCAAUCAAAGUUCGCCAUGUAUGCAUGUUUUUAACACUAUGUGAAUUGUAUUUUAUUCCUUAAUUUCAUUUAUUUUUUAAAAAAAAAGAAACUAUGUAUAUGGUACAAUAAAGCAUAAUGAAUGACAUAGAAGUAUCCAAUAAGAUUAGUAUAGCAUAAAAGUUAAUGGAGUCUACACGAAUUGGUCCAAUUAGAUUACACCAUGACGCAUGUCACUAGAGAUGAAUUAAUUCAAUCAUAUAUAUCUUCAACUCAAAAGAUAACCUCUCAACUCCACGUAUCGUUGAACAAACAUAUAACGUAUAGAUUCAAUUAAACAUUAAAAGAAUAUAGGAGACAUUGAAAGGCAUGGAAACAAAUUUACCUGUAUUUAUACAAGAGAUCAAGAAGAUUUUAUUUUUCUCCUCUAAAUUGGAAUUGGAAUUAAUUUACUCAUAAAUGCAAUAAAGAUUUGUAGUAUGUAGACUCGGAAGUCUUGUUUGAUCAACUAGAGCAAUAUUCUAACAAGAUCACUUGAAUCGAACCGAACUGUGGACACAUUCAAACCGCGUGCUCUACAGAAGCCCAGAAAUGACCUAAAAAGAAGAGAAGGGGAGUGGUGAGCCACACCUUAGACAGGCUGGUAUAAGGCAGUGAGGUGGCCAUGUGUGAGGUAGGGCCAAAACUCCCAAAUGGUAAAAUAGAAACAGACCAUUUUCAACUCAAAAUCUCAACAAAGCAACCCAAUGGAGACAUAAAAGAAAAGAUUCGUAAUCACAAGACACAACUGUCCAAAUGGGGACAGUCCUCAGCUCCUUUUCACAGUAAACACACAAAUCGGAUCUUUAAAUAAAAAAAUGGCAUAUUCUCUUUUCUCCGUAUAAACAAGAAGUUCAAAAACGCCAGUGCUGUAGAUUCUAAAAACAGGGAAGUUCAAGUUCAAAGAAACCCAGAUCAUGGAUUGGAUUUUAUAUGGCAAAUUUUCAUUCAAUUCAAAAGUUCAGCAGAGAGAAUUGAAAGGCAAAUUUAUAGUAAUCAAAUAAAAGAACCAACAAGAGGAAGCUGAGUGUAAUGUUUUUUCAAGCAGUUCAAACAUAUCCUAAAAGGCCCAUAAUACGAAAAAUAACAGUAAGCCCAUAAAAAAUAAGCAAACAAAAGGGAGGAAAAAAAAAUCAAAAAAGAAGAACCUGCUGCCGUUCUUGAGAAAUCUAGAUAAGAACUAUGAAGAAUCUGACCUCAUCUUCAACUUCAUCUUCAUCCAUGAGUGUUCACAGCUUCCCAGAGCAAGUUCUUAGGAACAGGAUUGGUCAAAUCUCUAGCUUGCAAAGCAGCUGUUCUAAGAGUUCUAAUGGUGCGGACAUUAGCAUCCCAAAAUGACAAGCUUCUGUAUGGAAGAUUGUGUUUCUUGCAAAGUUCGACCACAAUUGGAGAGAUUUUCCUCAACUGGCAUCUGGGCAUCCUUGGGAAUAAAUGAUGUUCUAGCUGAAAUUGCAAUCCACCAAAAAACCAAUCCAUCCAAGUAGAACAAGAGAUAUCCAAAGUCCCACUUGCUUGCUUCUCAAACCAAUCAUUCCCAGUGGGCUUCCCAACAUAAACAUUAGCAGAGAAAUGGUUGAGGCAGAAUUGGAUGUGCUGUAGAGAACAUACAGCAAAACUUGCAAGAACAAACAUGACUCUCUCAGGCCAAUUAGGGAGAUAAGAAACUAGAAGAGGAAACCAUGUCCAAAAGACAAGAAUCCCCAUUAUGUUCAAUGCUCUAUCAGGAACUUUUCUAGUGGAAAACAAGAGCAACAACGUCUGCACAAAGAGAUUCACUCUAGCCACACACAUCACAGGGUAAAAUGUGAAAUGCUGGUAGCUAACAAAGAAUCUAGCCAAGGAAUCAAACUCCAGCUUCCUACCAUAGAAAUGAGAUGUCAAAGUCCGGAAGAAACUAGUAGAAACAGCAAAAACAGGGAUGUGUUGAAGAUCUGGAUCGUGGUCAAGGCUAUUGCAGGAGAUGUGAUGAGCAUUAUGAGUCCAUUUCCACCAGGCUAUACUAAUCCCCGUCAAACAAUUUCCAGACAAAAUUUGAGCCAAUUUGUUAAAUCCACGACUCGACAUUACAUUAGAAUGUCCAGAAUCAUGACCCACAUAAGCACUUUGGAUCCAAAGCAUACCCAAAAUCAUAGCACAACCCAAAUGAACCAAAACGCUCUCCGAUUUCAAGACCCCAUAAACCACAAGAAACAUCAUCACAGCAACAGAAAUCAAAGAAUACAUAGUAACAUGCCCCUUCUUCUCAAACAAACCUUGUUUGGAAAAUUCAGACGCAAGCUUUCUGUAAUCCUUAGAAAUCUCCGAGACCUGAAAAUCCUUGAGAUGAAAUCCAGUAAACAACCGAUCCAAAUACGCCCAAGCGGUGCCAGGAUGAUAAGCAAUGAAUGCAUCGGUCACAUCAUGACCCGCUAAAUUGAUAAAAGGCGUAUCACCACCAGGAUGUUCUUUAGCCCAUUCUGUGACAUUAUAGACCUUACCCUGAAUAGAGAUCCAUAGAUCUCCUGGUUUGUUGUGCUUGAGAAGCUCCUCAGAGGUAAUGUACUUCUUCUCCACCUCCAUAUCCAAACCAGACCUUCAAAGUUUGGUAAAAGGAGAUCAAACAAAGAAAACAGGAGAAACCCAGAUGAGAAUAAAAGCAAUUUUUGGAAGGUUUCUUCGUUUUUUUUUUUUUUUUUUUCUUAUCGUGGAGUUGCUUUGGAUGGAAAAAUGCAACCCACUAUUCGGAGAAGAGAGGGGGGGAAGUUGGGUUCGAUUGAUUCAGAAUCUAGAAUAGUGUGAACCCCUCUUUCUGAAUUGCAUGUUGCAUUUAGGAGACUUUAAUAUAGAAAAGAAGAAAGGGAUUCGAAUGAAUGAACAGAGAAGAAUGAGAGGUCGUGAUUGUUAACAGCGAAGUACACGGUACAAAAACCAACCUGGGCUUUAGGCUUUAGGUGCCGUUUCCCCCGCAUCUCAAAUUGGCUUCCCUCCUUUUAACCUCACCCGCGGCUCACUCAAAUAUAUCCCCUCUUCUCUUCUUUUUUCCUUUUUCCAAAAUUACAAAUGAUGUUUAAAUUUUCACUUUUGUCCCUCUUUUUUUAAUACACUUUCUUUUUUAAAAUCAAAUUAAUCUUUUAACAAAUAUACUCCUUUUAUACCCAACUUAAACCCUAAACCAAUCAUUUCAUUAAUUAAAAUUACUAACUUUCCUUAAACAUUCUAUUAUACCAACUAAAUUCUCAAACUUUCAUAAAUUAAUUAAUUCAAUUUUAAAUUGGCAUUUCCCAUUUGGCAAAGUCUACCGAAAAAAUUAGUUUUAGUAUUAUCGGUUGUAAAUAGUUUGUUCUUUUUUUUUCUUAAUAUUAGAAAAAAUAUUACAUAAUAUUUUAAACUUGAUCUCUCCCCUCUAAGUUUUUGUUUAAUUGAAUACUUCUUUUGUGAGUUGAACCGGUGGUGGGGUUUUGAUUUUCUCAUUUUCUAUUAGCAAUGGAUUUAACAAUUCAUAAAAUGAAUGUGCAUUUUAUGCACCCAAUGUGAAUAAAUAAUAAUAAAGAUAAACCAUUUAGUUGGUAUUUACAUUUACUAAAUGACUUAAAUAAUGGGUUUUUUAAAUAAAUUCUUUUAUCAAACAUAUCUAUAGUUACUCAAAAUUCAUUAUACAUUGAUGUUAUCUGUGGUCUAAUUGCAAUCUUUUUAUGAUAUUUUGAUGCUUAGCUAAAAAAUAAGAAAGAAAGAAAGAGCUGAACACAAUGUUUAGAUUUGUUAACUGUAAUUAUUUACUUCUUAUACACUUAAAUCCCCAUUCGAGGUUGUGAAGAUAGUUCUUUUAUUAAUACUAUCUCAUUUUUAUACGAAAAAUUUUCUUUAUCACUCUAAUAUGCAUUGAAUUAUAUGAGAAAAAAAAAUUCAAAACUAUUUCCAUUUAUCAUCAUCACAUGCUUAUUAGAUAUCAUACUAGUUUUAGAUAAAUUUUCUUAAGAAAAAACCUAAGUAAAAUAAUUUAUAUUUUAUUAAUCUAUUUAUAAUUUGAAUAUAAUCCAAUUAACAUAAAAAUUGCUCUAUCAAUUAUUUCAUUUGAGAUCACAACAUUGGCGGUAUUAUUGUAGGGUAAAAAUGGAGGAGGAGGAGGAGGGAAAAGGGAAGCUUUAUUAUUGGAUGGGACGCACAAUUAUUAAAUUAAAGGGGAAAAAAGGGAUAUACGGAGUUUAAACGGAAAGAGCGAUUAAAAAAAACAAAAAAUAUAAACAAUAAAAGAGUCGGUUAAAGAAAUAUAAAGAAAAAGAAUGAAUUUUCCGUAACGUGUAGCGUCAUGCGUAGUGAGUGAAUGACGGGUGGAAAAACGACCCCGUCAAGGUAAAAUCGUGUGGACAUGGAUUAAAAGAAUGGACGGGUGAGAUGCGAGGGAAAAGAAUAUUACUGUGGACGAACCACAUGUCGUUUUUUGUUUUUUUUUAAUUUUUGGGUGAAUGAUAUUUUGUUUCUUUUUUUAAAAUAUGAAUAUUUCGAGAGAUAUUUUUGGAGGAGGUGCCAGUCACUCACAGCUGUUUCUCUUUCUUUUUUUAAUUUCUUCUAUUUUUUAAGACACUUAUUUAUUUUAUUUGUAUAAAAUUAUAUAAAUUCAUCAAAUUAAAGAGGGAAAUUUUGUUUAUUUUAAGUGUUUGUAUUGUUGUGAAAUUCUAGCAAUAGUUUUAGUUUUUUUCUAUGUUUUGAAAAAUCUCUAUUUUUGUAAAUUUUGUCAAUGGGAAUUUAACCAAUUUAGAAGAAGAAAUUUACGUUUUUCCUAAUUUUCAUUACAUAUUUCUUAAGAAGUAAGAUUGUAUUUUUUCUUUCUUUUAUAGUUAGUUUGUUUUCAAGGAUGGUCUUUAAUGUCAAUAUAACUUAGUAAGUAAGUCUAUAUAUAUAAACUUAUUAAUUAAGAGAUGUGAUACAAAUUAAAAAAUUAUAAACAAAAUGAAUAAAAACGUUAUUCAACUGACAACGAUUUCAAAUUUCGUAAACAACUAUGAUUUGUCUUUUAGUAUGAAAAUUACUUUGAAAAGUUUAGUCAAUCUUUUUGACAUAAAUACUUUUGGACUAGUUUGUUUAUUAUUUUUUUCUAGAGAAAUUUUACAAUUUUUUAGUUUCUAUAACAUUUAUUUUAAGAAUUAUUUAAAAACACCAGCCAAUUUUCUAGUUUCUAUAUGUUACUGAAAUGGUUUUUUAUUUUUUAUAACACUUAAUUUGAAGAAAAUAUGUUUCUUUUAAUGCUAAACAUUUCCCGAAAAAAAUGUUCAUUUUAUUUAAAAUUAUUUUAGAGUCUUAACUAGUUUUAUUUUAUAUUAAAAUAUCAUUUUGGUUGGUACCAUUUUGGAACUUUUAUUUAUUAAUUUAUUUUGUUGAAAGCUCAAUAAAGUAAAGAGGGUGUAAAACAGUGGCACGUGUGGCAUAAUUUACGAAGUUUCAAUUGUGUUUUCUUAACUUUCAUCUAUUUGAUUUGUGUGAUGAGGAACUCUAAUCUUUUAUAUUUUUUAUGGUCUACUUUUACGUUGAAACUUUUAUGGUAUUUAAAAUCAUAUGGGAGUAAGAUUAAAAUAAUAUUAAAAUUGUGUUUGUUUUCAAUCAAGGGUCAAAUCAAUGCAAGGCAAUUAGAUUGAUUUACUACUUUUGGACUUGAUUCGAAAAGCUGCUCCUUACCAACUUAUUUUCUAGCUAGUACACAAGUAAAGAGUUCAAAACAAUUAUAAAAUUGUAGAUGAGAGGAUUGAAGUAUGAGCAAGUAUGAUUGACUAGCCUAAUCAUAACUCAAUUAGAGGUUAUGGGUUGGAAUCUCGUACAUUUUACUUAUUGUUGAAUUAAAAGAAUAGGUAUGGUCAAUACUAACACAAACAUAACUCAAUUAACAUAUGUUUGUAUUAAAAUUAAAAUUGUUGACAUCUUGAUCAAUGGUACACAUUAAUUAAAAUCAAUUCGAAAGUUAUUCACAAAACUAUUAUUAUUUUGUAUUAAUACAAUUAAACAAGGUGUUCAUACACACUGGAGACUCUAUGUAGUUCAGCUAAACUGAAGUAAAUAGAUGGAAAGAAGUGGUUUAGUGAGGUUAGGUAGGAUUUGAAAUAGAUGGGAAAAGAAAGAGAGAGAAAGGAAAAGGAUGGUCUCUCCCUAGGGGGAGAGGGAAUGGGAAGAGACAGGAGGAGGUGGUGGGACUCACGUGCCUUUUGAAAUGGGGCGAAUUGGGCUAUAAACAAAAGUAAAGGGACUGGACCACAAAAAUAAAUAAAAAAGAUGAUACCAAUAUGAUGAUGAAGUAGAACAUGGAAUACAAUGCGUUUGCCACCUCAGAUAUCCAGCUGGAUCUAUUUUGUGGCUGUUGCAUUUCCUUUUCAACUCACCCUUUAAAUUAGCCUUUUCCUUUUCUUUCAAUUCUUCAAAUAUCAACGGGUUUUUCUUUUUUUCUUUCUUUUAUUCCAAAAAUAUCUUUUCAACCUUUUCAAUUUUAAGUACUUCCAACGUUAGUAAAUUUUAUUUUAUGAUAAUAAGAUUUAUCUCAUUAUAUUUUCUAAAUUGUAAAACUAUAACUUCGAUUAUCAUUGGAUAGUCUCAUGAUUACGUAUCAUAAUCAUCUAUAUAACUAAUUUUGUUAUAUUUACAUAUGCAUAUGCAAAAAAUAAGUGUCACGAACUGAUUUUUUUAAAAUAAUUUUAUCAUUUAAUGCAAUUUAUUUUUAUAUUUUGGAUAUAGUUUUCAUUUCACUCGAAGGUUCCUAAAUAUUAUAUAUUAUUUUGGUACUACAAUUAGAAUAUGGGAUUUAAAUCAUAAACUCCGUGGUUAUUGUCCAAGAUGUUACAUUUUUAUUUGUUUAAGAUUUGAAUUUAUUUCUUAGAUUCAAAACUUUACUAGAAAAAUUGAGUUUAAUUUUAGUUUAAAUUAUGACUUUUAGAUUUAUGCUUUUAACCUCUUAAGUAAGAAUAAUUUUUGAAGUAAAAAUUAUAAAUUAAUUUUAAUUUCGAUAAAAAUACAUUGAAACUAAAUCAAUUGUCAAGUAAAAAGAAAUAUAUAUUCAAAUUGUAUUAAUAAGAACUUGUAUUAACGUUCCUCACAAAAUGGGGAUGUAGCUCAAAUGGUAGAGCGCUCGCUUUGCAUGUGAGAGGUACAGGGUUCGAUCCCCUGCAUCUCCAUUUCUUUUAUUCUUUUUUUUUUUGUAUGUUUAAAGUAGUGAUACAAGAGUAUGGUUAUUGGUUAGGCAUAAGAGAAUAAAUAAUCAUAUACAUUUUCAUAUAAAAUAUAUUCGCAUGUAUCAUAUAAUAAAAGAUUAUAAUAUAAUAAGGUUAACAUGAGGUCAACUAGGAAUUAUAAUUCUUUUAAUAACAAAUCUCAAAUUAAUUUAAUUGAAGAGAAUGUGGUUCCCACUUCCACGCCUUUUGCAAAUUUCAUUCAUUAAAGAUUGAAGCAUGCUUUUGAAUAAUCAAUCUCUAUUAGUUUAAUUCUUUAUUUUAUUUAUUUUAUGUCUUAUUACUUUGGAUUUUAAAUUGGACCAAUUUCUUGAAUUAUUUUUUAAGUGAAUUAAAUUCAACUAUAUAUAUUUGCUAAGUAAACCUUAUAAUUUUCUAAAACUAAGAGAAAAAAAAGUUUUUAGACUUUGUGUUUCUAAUAUUAAAUAUAUUUAAAAAGAGCGGAUAUUACUAUACUAUAUAAAGUCAACAAUAUUUUGAUUUUAUUGAACUUAAAAAGAAAAUAGUUUAUGAUAUAUAUAUAUAGAUAAAUAUAAUUCUAAAUGGCCUCAAAUUAAAGAUUUGAACUCUAAUUUUGGAUCGGAGAGAAUCACGAAACACUAUGAAAGUUGCAUUAACGUUAGCUUAUUAACUUUAGUUUAAUAAUAUGGACUUUAUAAAUUAUAUUGAACUGUGAAAGUAACAAUAUUGUUUCUGUAUUUGGAGAUUUGCUCAAAUGUGUUUAAUAGAUAAAUAAUUGUCAUUCUAAAUAUAUUAAUGGUUUGAUUAUAUCUUUUAUAUAUGGUUAAAUCUCUUCCAUACCAUACCAUGAUGCACCCCAUAAUUACAUAUCCAAGUAUUAUACACUCAUGAAGAGAAAAAAAUAUAUGUAGUUUCUGGAUGUUUUUCUAAAUCAAAAUUUUGAUAUACUAAACUGAAAACGGAUUAAAUUUUGAAAAGAAAAAAGAAAAAGAAAAAUAUCAAGUAUACUUUAUUUGAUAUGUUAUUAAUUUUACAUGACAGAAGUUUUUUAACAACAAAUAUUAAUAAUACUUGAUGUUACUUGAUGGAUGAACGACUUUUUCAAAACGUAGAUAUCUAAACAAGAAAUUAUAAACUAAAUUAAUGAAAAACAAAAUUUUAAUAUAGAUAAGAGGGUCUAGUUGCCCACAAUAUAUAAUAUAUAAUAUAUAUAUAAAUAUAUAUAUGACCAUGAGGAUUUGAUAUUGGUAGUAUAUUUGUAUGGUAUUAUUGUUAUAUGGUAUCAUAGAAUACAAUACAGUAGAGUUGCAUAUAAUAUAUAGAAUAUGACAUUUGAUAAUAAAGUAAAGUGUGUUAGUCAUGUAUAGGGUAUUACAUACUUUAAAUCUGGAAGUACUUAAUGCAAUAUAGCGUCGUAGUCAAAGGUUGGAUGUUGGUCCUCUAACCAUAUGUAUGAAGAAAAAAAUGGCUCUCCAACUUUUCAACACCCUAGACAUUUUAAAUGUUGAGAGUGAUGCCCAUUAUCUUCCACAACUUGUAAUUAGUAAACACACAACAAAAAUAAAUAAAAUGGAAGAUUUUUAUUUUCAUUAUUAUUAUUUUGUUUGGAAAUAAUCGUAAAAUAAUAUUAUUAUCGUUUAUCUCACAUUACACAAUUUGAAAACUCUUCUAGAGGUUCGAAAAGACGAAAAUUUAAAUAAUAAAAAGAAAUAAAGACAGAGACAAGUUCCAAAAGUCCGUACCACUUAUUCAUUAUGAAUAUAACUCCAAACAAACCUCAAUUCGUCUCUUUUGAAAUGGAACUCCAUAAACAAAGGAGGGGAAAAUAAAUCAAUUACUUCUAAAACAUUUCUCAUGAUGUAUUAGUUUUGAUUAAAUAAUUAAAUGAUAAAUUUAGGAUUGAUUAUUUACAAAAUAACGUGGAUAGUUGUAUUUGUUUAUUAUUCUAGUAGUAGUUGUUAGCUAGUUGCUAAAUCACGGAUUGAUUAUAAUAAGUGUUUUAUGCUUGUUUUGAAGUUGAAUAUAAGUGGAAAUGGAGGAUUCAAAACUUUGAUGACCAAGUCUCGAAUUCUCUUUUGAGUCUUUAUUUGUUAGUGCAUUCAAACUUUUUUGCUUUGAAAUAGAAUUUCAAUUUUUUUAAAUAAAGAAGAGAUAGAUAACGACUACUUAUAAUGUACCAUUCUAAUUUUGAACUUUGAAAUGGUGACUGCAAUGAAGAUGUCAUGAAAUUACAACUUUCUGAAUAGCUUUAAACUCUAAAAUGAAGAAAGAGAUUUGAGAAUUAGAAUCGAAAUGCACAUGACACGUUUCAAAUGUACUUUAGUUCAUUCGAGUUUUCCUUCGACAUACUUUAUGCAAAACACUAAAGUUUAUCAAAUAUCUGUCCAGUGUCUUCAAACUUCAAAUUGCAUUUGACUACCUAGAUUGAACAACAAUUUUUGGUUUCAAACGAUUUCAGGAGCUUGAUCGAGUGAUGCUUGCCACACAACUUCCAUUACUUAAGUUAGUUCGAAACUAUUUAGAAGAAGCAAGAGGUUAAAGAAUAAGAAUUCACCUGCUUUUUAUAGAGUAACAACCAUGUAUAUAUAUAUUAAACUUUUUAAAUUUUUUAUAAUAAAUUAUAAAAUAUUUUAUUUCUCAAAUUGGGGAUGUAGCUCAAAUGGUAGAGCGCUCGCUUUGCAUGCGAGAGGUACAGGGUUCGAUCCCCUGCAUCUCCAUUUUUUCAUAUACAUCAUUUUUAUUUUCAUGUUAAACUUCUUUUAUGUCUUAUGACAUAUUAUUCAUCAUAUCUUAAUAUUUACUAGUGUUGAGACUAUAUAUAUAUAUAUUAUAAUUAACUAUACAUGUACAUUCAAAUAGUCAUAUCUUAGUUUAAAUAACUUGAUAUCAAUUAUACCUAUCAACUUAAUAAAUGUUCACACUUUCUCUUAUUUCUACAUUCUAAUUUUAAAAUUGAAAAUUUUAUUUUAAAUAACAAAAAUAUUUAAAACUAUUUAAAAAUAUAACAAAAUAAAAUAUUAUAAUUAAUAUUUGUAGAUUAUAAUAGAUGAAAAGAAGUUACUUUAAACGUUGAAGUGAUAUUUUGUAAAUAUUUUGAAUAAUAUCUAAUCUCUUUAAUUUAAUUUUUACAACUCUAAUACGUUUGAAAUGUGUAAUAUAGUUUCAAUUUGUCCGUGUACUAAAAAAACAACUUUAGUUUUAUGGUAGAUUCCAAAUUGAUAUGUUUAAAAUUAAUUGUUAGAACAUAAAUAAAAAAUGAACUUUUAUGUUUGAUAGUUUUCAUUGAUUAUGUACGUAUUUAGAAUUUUAAGAUUUUGUAUUAAAAUGUAAGUUUGGAAACAUCGAACCUUUUGAUCUCGAGGUUUAUUAUAAAUUUAAACCAUGUGUUUGUUGAGCUAUAUUUAGUUUAAUAGUCUAAACAUAAAUAUAGAUGGGUAUACACACCUAAAUAUAUUGGAAAUAAAAACAAAACAUUACUAUAUUGGUACACAAAUAUUACUUUCCUCUAGGUAACCUCGAUCAUGUGACCAUCCAUAUCAGUGAGGUGAAAACAUGAUUAGAUUCUUAGACAAGUGGGUUUACAGGUAAAGAAGAGUAAGCCAAGUGGAAUUUGUAGAAUAUAUUACAUGCCAAUGGGAACAAUAAUAUAGCCACAAAAACCCUAGAUAAUGUUCCACGUAUUUGAGAUCAUAGUAUCUUUACUUGAAUACAACAAUGUUAUCCUUUCUAUAAAGAAGAGAGAAUUUAAUUAAACUAGAAUAUUAACUACACAAAGAUAAGAUGGAAUAUAUUAAUUAUCUUUACACAUGAAUGCAAUAAUUUGAAAAGAACUUAUUCCCAUCAUACAAUUUGACUAUAAAAUUUGAAAGAAAACAAAUAUAAGAAGUGGAAGCUAAAAACAAUAUUGUUAUCCAAAUAGAUAGGAUGACCUAUUUUACCAAAUUUAUUAUAAAUUUAUCCUUUUUUUCGUGUGGAGAAUUUAGAAGAGAAACGUUAAGUGUGUUUUAGUGAAUGAGUCCACCACUCAAUGCAUUUUGUUUCUAUUUGGAGCAUCGUAUCUAAACUAGGUAGUGAUUAUAUAAUUUAACUAAAUAGAGUAUUGGUCCAUAACAUGUAUUUUAGUUUUGAGCUCGAAAUAUCAGUCAUUCUAGUCUACCACUGUAAACAGAAAUAUUGAUUUUACAUAAAGAAAUUUAGAAGUCUAUUUCUCAAAAUUUGUCAACAAAAGAAUAUAUGAUGGACUAAAAAAAUGGUAAAAAUAGUAGAAUAGUAUAGUGGUUGAAAUGGUUAUAGAGAAAAGUUUGCACAAUGAAAAAAAGGAAAAGAGAUUCUAAAAAGAACAAAUACGAUCAAAGGGUUUCCUAUUUCAUUCUUUGAUAUCAUUGAAAGGGUUUUCUUGUCUUUUUAUUUUCAAUGGAAAUGCCCCCAACCCCACCACUUUGAAUGGAAGAAAGUUUUUAAAUUUCGUGUCGUAAUCUACAAAAUUCCAGCAAUUUCCAGCAAAUUAAAGGACUUGUGGUCCUCAAACUUCUAAGCCCUUCCUUGCAAUUGCCAAAUGGUAGGUCACUCCACCCCUAAAUCAAAAAAAUAUCACAUUAAUAACUUUUGGGAUAUCAUGUUGUUGUGGCUGUGCCUCUCAACUCUAUAUGCAUUAUUCAUAUCAUAAAGAACAAACCACUUUCUUUCUUCUCCAUGCUUAGAAUUUUCUAGAGCUCUUUUCCCCUUUUUGAUACCUUUUCGUGUAUUCUCAUUCUUGAGAUUUUAAAAACGAUUUAAUCCAAAUGGAAUAUUUAACAUCAUGUAUAUAGGUUGAGCUUUGAUCAAAUUCACUUGAUGCACUAGUGAUGAUCAGUUAGUUGAUAUAGAAAAUAACGAGAUUUGUACGUUAAUAUCUAAUUACUACAUUAGUUCUAAUGUUUAAAUAUAAAAAAAUUAGGAAGUAAACAAGGAUAAUACAUGGAUGAAAGAAUAUAUAGUAUAGAAGAAGAGAUGAGAUAGUUCCAUGACAACUAUGAAAAGAAGUCAAAUCCUUAAAAUUUUUUGGACUAGAAGGGUGAAUUGCCCUUGAAAACAUUUGGGUCUGUCUUUGAGCAAACUAUGGAGGAGUGAAUUUGUACUUUCAAUUACAAAAUCUUUGAUUUAUGUUUGGAAGAAGAAGAAAAUGGAUGGGUUAAAUAGCACUUAUGUAUAUAUGCUUUAUUUGUCCACUGGACCCAAUUGUUUUAUGGUGUUUUCUGUUGGACCUUGGUGUUGGUGGGCUUUUGCUUCUUGUAUCAAUAAUUCAAUAUUGAACUAUCUUACUUUAAUAGGAGAAAAAAAAUUGAACUAUCCAAAUACAAAGGAUAGCACCAAAUAGGGAUCGAAUUUUUAAUCCCCGAUUAAUAUAAUUUUUUUUUCACUUUUGUCCACCAUUAUAGAAAAAAUGACUGAGAAGUAACUUAUUGGUUAACGACAUUCUUCUAUUUAUAUAAAAAAAAAGUUAUGAUUUCGCUAAAUUAGAUAAAUACACUUAGUUGAACUAUAGCUGAAUUGUAAUUCCUCUAGAUUUGAUUCACAAAUUCAACAAUGUUACAAUUAAAAAUCUAAAUUUGUAAUUAAUUUUAUAAUGUACUAAGAACACAAUAUUAUUUUCAGAAAACCCCCUAGAAAUGAUCAUAUUGUUAUAAUUAGCCCACAUCUCCUCUAUUUUCUUUUGCUUAUUAGUUAAUGAACCGCUAAAACAGCUCCCCGCCACCGCUUGCUCUAUUACUCCCCUUCUCAGAUCCUCACUCUUCACACUCCAACUCCCUCCAGUCUUCAACAACCGUCGGUGGAGCUCCACUUUCCGACGAUAAGGUAAAAUUUCUAACAAAUUUUGAUGUAUAAGUCAUGUGCCUUCUUUGGUUACUUUUAGCUUACCAAUUCAUGUUCUGAAUCAUGCCCAUCCAAUUUCAGAUCACAUUGUUUCAUUGGAAUUUCCCCUGGUUAACUGCAGCUGAUCUGUAUGUCAUUGCCAAUGCUGUUUUGUUUUCUCUAGUUUCGGGUUGAUCCGAUUAAUCGGCAGGGAAAUUGUGACGUCUGGUCUGCAGUCAUUUAGAAUUGGCCGUUGAUUGGUUUUUUAAGCUUGAGUCUAGCUUCGAGAUGGAAUGGCCCUAAUUUGCUGAUUGAUUUUGCAAUUUGUUUCUUGGACGAAUGAUUUGUGGGUCGUUUUAAUCUUCGUCUCUCGGGUCAAGGUUGUAGAGAUUUACUUGAAAACGGUUUGUGACUGUUCUGGGUUUUCUUUCUUACGCAAGAAAAUGCCGUCGGUCUUGCACCAAAGAUCCACUCACAGCUCACUUGCAAAUUCAUAUCCACUUUCUCCUCGUUCUUCCUCGAGUUCUGAAAGAUCAUUUUCCAUAUUCAGUCCUAUAAACCUACUUGCUCUGCUUUCUCUCAUUGUGAUUCUUGGAGUCUUCUUGCCCUGGAUGAAUAUACAAGAGAGUAUUUUCUCAAGCUCCAAGGUCUCAAACUCUAAAUGGCGAGAGUACUCAUUGGCUGAAGCUGCGUCGUUCGUUGCGAGGAAUGGGACUGUGAUUGUUUGCGCUGUCAGCCAACCCUACUUGCCCUUUCUCAAUAAUUGGUUAAUUAGUCUUUCUCGGCAGAAGCACCAUGAGAAAGUUCUUGUUAUUGCUGAGGACUAUGCAACGCUCUAUAAAGUGAAUGAACGGUGGCCAGGGCAUGCAGUGCUCGUCCCACCAGCUCCUGAUGCUCAAACCGCUCAUAAAUUUGGUUCUCAGGUAUGCUUUCAUGAAUUUUUUUGCUAUCAGUUUUGAUUGGUUUUUUCUAUUUGAAAUGAUAAUUUUGAUUGCUAUAUAAACUUAUAAUCAGUCUUUGUUGCUUCUCUGUUAAAUAUUUCAUCGCAUUUAACAUUGCCUGGGCAAAGAUGUUUUGUUAUUGCAACACUAGUCAUAACAUUUCGUACUUGAAUGUGUUUUCUAAACUUAAGAUUAUUUCAUAACUUUUAUAUCCGGUCUUAAUUUAUGAUUAUUAAUAUUACUACUGUAUAACUUUCAUAUAAUGCCUUAAAUUUCAAUUGAUAUUAUGUGAUGGCAUUUCUGUAGUGAUACUUACCCCAUGAAGUAUAGAAGCUUCAAUUUUAUUGCUCCUUCCAUCACUUACUAAUUUGAUCUUCAAGUCAUCAACAUCAUCUCUCUCUUUGUUCUCUUUGUAUGAAGCAUUUUAUAGAACUCAAGAAACUCUUUCUUGAAGCAUUUCUUUGGCCAUCGAGAACAUGUUCACUCAAUUUCCUUCCCAUCAAUCCUGCUUUGCCCUGUCUCCUAAUUUAACUUCUCCCUUCUCAUGCUCAGUUCUUAGAUGUAUAUGUUUGAUCUUUAGCCAAAUUCAUUGCCUGUAUGAAAUGAAAAUGAUGGCAUUCACUUUGUAGGGAUUCUUCAACUUCACAUCCCGGAGACCACGACACCUACUACACAUUUUGGAGCUUGGUUAUAAUGUUAUGUACAAUGAUGUUGAUAUGGUAUGGCUGGCUGAUCCAUUUCCUUAUCUGCAAGGGAAUCAUGAUGUGUACUUCACAGAUGACAUGGCUGCAGUAUGUACAACUUUUCUCUCUCCUCCUCCCAGUGCAAUGUUUGUGGAAAUGGAUUGCUUGCAUGCUUGCAUAUAAACUCUAAUUUAUUAUCUUUUUGUUCUUUGGGCAAGAAAGAGAGUUCAUAUAAGUCUGAGAUGUUUAAAUGCAAAUGGUGGAGGACUUUAGCUUCCUGAUGAAAAUUUGUACAUUUGCUUAUUUCUUUGAUCAAUCUAUAGAUUUGACUUGAACAUGUGGUACUUACAGAUCUCCAGUUUAAUAGUUUGAGAACUUGAGAAAUAUGGUGACACUACUUCUUAGAUUUUGAUGAAAAGUGUUUGCAUUGUUGUUCAACAACGUGCACUAGCUUCCUUUUAAUUUUGUCCUCACCUCGUUACAGGUAAAACCAUUGCACCACUCUCAUGAUUUGCCACCUCCGGGGAAAAAGGGCCGCACUUACAUAUGCAGCUGCAUGAUUUUCCUACGUCCCACCAGUGGAGCAAAACUGGUCAUGAGGAAGUGGAUUGAGGAACUUAAAGCUCAGCCAUGGUCCAAGGCAAAGAAGGCAAAUGAUCAACCUGCUUUCAAUUGGGCACUAAAUAAAACUGCUGGAGAGGUUUGUUUUUCUAGUCUUCUAGUUUUCAAUAUCAUAUCCUAAUUGAGCUGCUAGGAUCCCAUAUGAUAGCAAUUAAGCUUACAAUACAUGCAUAUAUAUAAUGAAAGGAGCAUAAAAUUUACACCAUGCGAGAACAACAAAGGAAAGUGAAUUGUCAAAUUAUCAAAUGAUUACAUUAAUUUAGUUAAAAGUUGCAAACUAUGAUACUUCCAGUUCCAAUAGGUGAAUAUAAAGAAAGAUUUUGCUUUGUCUUAGUGAAUGCACCGUGAAAACCGUAAUGAUACCAGUGGUCAUACCAGCUUGUUGGGGCUACCCAAAGGAUGAAAGUUUGGAGAGUCGAAUAGAAACUGAGGUUCAUUUACUGAAUUUCAGCUUCCAAACUGAGUCUUCUCAAGUCAAGACCCAUGUGCUUGAUCUUAGUUUUUAAAGACCAAGCUUUUCAUUUUACAAUUUCUUGGUCUAGAUCUUUAACCUUUUAACAACUUUUUAAAGCCUACAGAGUAUAAGUUUUUGGCUUAUUCUGUUUCACCCUUCAAAAGUUGGUUAAUCUCCAAACGGGUUUCUGCCUGAAACUCAGAUCCUUACAUUCUUCGAAUUGGCAGUUGAAAUCUAUCUUAAAAACUUCCAAAGGGGACUAAAUUUGCAGUGGGGACUGGUCGAGACACAAUUUUUUUUUCCUUUUCUGAGGGCACAUUGAAUGGGAUAUUGUCCUCCCCCAUUGUAUUUUCCUAGUUUAGACUUUGGUUGCUGGACUUCUAACAUCCAUCUUCAACUUUUGGAGCUCCUCUCACUGCUCUUUAUUGGUGCAAGUGUGAUAAAUUAAACGCCCUUUCACAGAUAUGGUAUUUCUUCUUUGAUUUUCAAUUUGGGAUCUUUCACGUUGGUUAAGUCUGUCUAUUUAAUUUCUCUACCAAAUUGCUUUUUUCUUUUCUAGAAAGAAGAAAGAAAAAUUAUCACGUACUUGGAACCUUUGAAAAUGGAAAUCCUAGAGUAGGGGUUUUCGCUUGACGCUCCCUUCCGUUUAUUUCUAGGAUGAACCAGACAAUUAGGGACUUUCUUAUAUCAUCCUUUUUUCUAUAGGCAUUAUUGAUGAAAGUGGGGUGGAUAAUCCCUCAUCUUUCAUUUGGUAUGGAAAAGUUUCCAAGUUCCCCCAAAAUUACCAAAUUCUCCGAGUUCCCCCAAAGUGUUGCAUUUUCUUGUGAGAGUUUGUUCUUGGCAGGAUUAGCAAUUUUGUCUUAGAGAAAAGACGCCAUUUUCUUUCCUUCUUCCCUGGCUGGUCUUACCUGUGUAAACAGAAUUUGGAGACUCACUCAAGAGUCAAUACCAUAUGUUCCUCUCAUGCCCUUAUGCUCGUCUUAUAUGGUCAUAGUUAUUGCAGAUUCUUAGCAUCUCCUCCCUCACAAAUUGACAAGUUUGCUUCCCAUUUUCGUAGGAGGUUUUCCUUUAAAAAAUUAGAAGAAAUUCCUGUGGCUUCAACUCGGGUGGGCAAGGGAUUUCUUUUGGUUAAUUUGGUUAGAAAGAAGCAAUGAGAAAAAAAUUUAAAGGCUAUUUUUAGGAAUAGUUCGUUGUUUUCUGCUUUCUUGGUGUAAAUUCUGCGUUCCUUACAAAAAGUUUAAUUCUCUCAUUGCCACUUGGAAGACUCUGUAGUAACUUUCUUUGAUUGGGGCUUCGGGCUUGGCUUUCCUCCCCUUUUUUUAUUUUUAAUUUCUUAUUUUAUAUGAAAUGGUAUAUUGCUUUAAUUUACAAAACUAUUAAUAUAUAAAAUUUUGGUUAGGAUUUUGAAAGUAGAUUAUUUCCAUCUUUUAGUCAACUAAGCUGCUAAAACCAACUGAUCCAGUAGUUUGUUCAUACAAGGCCCUUAUUACUUGGAUUAGAUCUCUUAGCUAUUCCAUGUAUGAGGGAAGAAUCCUUCAAUAAUUUUUAGUCAAUAUGAGACAAUGUAUAUUAAAUUUUCUUAUGAAGAGAGACUGUGCAUUUUAGAUAACUACCUAAAAAUGGUUACAUUGAUGAUACACAGGUGGAUCUAUACCUGCUGCCACAGUCAGCAUUCCCAACAGGUGGAUUAUACUUCAAGAACGAAUCAUGGGUUCAGGAAACCAAGGGAAUGCAUGUUAUUAUACAUAAUAAUUAUAUCACAGGGUUUGAGAAGAAAAUUAAACGUUUCCGAGAAUUCAACCUGUGGUACGUGGAUGAUCAUACUCUCGAGUCUCCUCUUGGUCGAAUAUGAGAAAUUAAUAGAUGUUAUCACAAUUCUUCCCGCAAUACAAGGUAUACUCUCUUUUAGAACUGUUUAACCUUAGGAAGAUUUAGUUCAAUUUCCUUCUUCCUGGAAUAGUUUUGGGAGUGCGUUUAGGUUGGUACUAUAUUUCAUUCACAAUUUGUUAUCAUGACAACACUGUAGCAACACAUAGUAAGAUUAUUAUUAUCAUCAUUCAUUGAACAUUAAGUAUUGAUUAUUGUAAUUUUGCUCUGAGAAGUUCCCUCAGUCUCAUUUAUCAAAUUCCUUUGAAAUAUUGUGUAUAGUAGUUAUAUACUUGGAACUUUAGGGAGGUGCUUUCUAUUGGAGCAUAGGAAUUUCUAACAUUCUUGGUCAAAUUUUUACCAUGUUACUCCAUUUCUUACUAGAAUCUGAAAAAAUGAAACAUAAGGUACCAUUUAGUAACUGUUUUUGGUUUUUAUUUUUAAUAAACUAAGUUUUCCUCUCAAAGUUUAAUUUCUAGUCAAAUUUAAAAAACAAAGACUGUUUUUUACGUUUUCAAACUUCCGGUUUGGUAAAAAGUUUAUAACAAAUCGAGAAUUUAGAGGGAUGGGUGCUUUUAGACUUAAUUUGAACCCAAAAAAAAAACAAAAAACAAAAAAUCUAAAUGGUUAUAACUCCACAAUUAUUUGAGGUACUUGAACUUUCCGCCUACACAAAUGCGUUCAUAUUCGUAUGCUCAUAAUAUUAUGACAUACCUUCAUCUUUUUUACUCAUUCCUAAUAAGUUCUUACAUACUAUUUUUUAGCUAAUUUAAAAUUUGAAAAAAAUAGAGUGAAACUUAUGUUGAACUAUCUUAGAGAUCAAACGAUGGAUCAAGUCUUUUGUUUCUAAUUUUGACUCCACUUGGCUUUGAGAUCUAGUUUUUAAACUUAACCCUCUAUUUGAUUAGGAUAAAUUUUGUUUCUCAUUCAUGAUUUGAAUGACUUCGCAGAUCAAAUCCUACGGGUAAGCUAUCCUCAACCACAAACUAUUAUCAUGGCAAAGAAUUUUAGCUGAGAUAACUCAAAUGGCCUCAAUGUUAUUUCAAUCCAAAUUGGUUCCUGCAAGAAGAAACGGAUUUUAUACAAACCUUCAAAUGACCCAACAAAUGUCUAAUAAGUAAAUAUAAAGGUGUAACUUCCUAAUAUGUCAAAUUACAUAAUGGGUUACUAGCUCGAGUAAUCUAAUAAAUGUGUAUAGAUGAAACAUUUUGGUCGAGGAGAUUGAACUUCUUACAUAGCAAGCGGCCAAAGUCGGUUCGAUAUAAGAGGAAAUUUUCGAUAGAUUGGACAUCUUUAUUGAUAUGGGUACUUUUUGUGAAACCAAAUGCAAAAGUUAUGAGAGUUUGUGGUUGUAGUAAACAAGAUGGGAAUAUAUCGAGUUUUUGUUGUUUUUAAUAUAUGGUUGAGUCCGGAAGAGAUCUUAGAUUAAAAGAAAAAACAAGGAGAUCCUGAUUAACAUAGUAACUAGAUAAGGAGCGGAAUCGUGAGUUGUGAGAAACAAUUAUUUCCAUCACAACAACAUUUUGGAUGAAAAAAAAAACAAAUGAAAAAAGAACAAAGCAAGGAGUAGUUACGUCCAAGGACGACCAUGUUGGAUACUUUGAAAAGUAUUAUUUUAGUUGAAUUAAACCGUGUGUAUUAGAAGCUUGAUUUGCACUUGACUUCAUUUAAUUUUUAGUUGAACUAAAGAGUGUGGUAGAAGCUUGAAUUGCAUUUGACUUCAUUUAAUGUUAGAUUAAGUUUUAACUUUACACACUUGACUUCAACAUGAAUUUAUCUCAAUGAAAGAUUAAGUUCUAACUUUACAUUCAUUCAACACCACUUGACUUCAAUAUCAAUUCAUCAUAAAUGAAGUUAGAGAUGCUCUUAACUUCAUGAGUUUACUAUUAAAAACUAUUAAAAUGAAGUUCGAAUUGAUUUAAUCAACUCUCUUAUGAAAUUAAAGCAUUUUUAUAAUAGAUAAAAUAUAUCUAAUUUUUUGUAAAAGUCGAAUUUUAAAUGUUGAAAAAUCACAUAAUUAAAAUUAAGAAUUGUUUCAAGGCCUUGGUUCCAGCUGUAUGAUUUGAUCUCAUAUAAGUGGUUUUUAAUGGAGUUGAUUAGUGACCAUAGACUAUGUUUUCUCCCAACCAAAUCCACCUAAUAUUUUGCCCAUUUAAAUAAUUCAAUCUUUUAUUUUCUAAAAAAAAAUUAACCAAAUAAUCUAUCUUUUUUCUUUUUUGUUUACACGUGAAAGAUAAGUGAGUUAAUAAAGUUCUUACUUUCGUAUUUAGUGUGAAAAUGACGUCCAGGUAUUUUAAUUUAAAAUUUAGAAUAAAUAUCUAAACCUAAAAUGUUAUGUCUUAUCCUUGUAGAAAAAGUGUUCAUGUUUACGAAUAUUUAACUAUAUUCAUAUUUGAAAAGAAAUAAAUUAAUACUGUGAUGAGACUAAUUUAUAAAUUAAUAUUGUGAUGAGACUAAUUUAAAAUCAAGUACAAAAUAACAAUAUUUAUAAGCAAUAACGUUCAACUUUACUGGUAUUUUUGUAUGGACAUAGUUAAAAUAAGUGCGAUUUUGACUGAACUUAUCACUUAUAGUUGUAAAAAUUAUAUUAAUUGACAAAUAAUCGAAAGAAACUUGGUCGUAAAGCUAUGUAUCCUUGAUGGUGACGAUUCUCUUUAAUUGCCAAUUACAUAACCACAUACAAGUGUUCCUCUCCCUCCAACAUGAAAACAUAAAUAGUCCUCUCACUUUACCUACCAAGAAACUCGAGAUUUCAUAAAAAGUGGUUUUUUUUUUCUAACCCAUCUCACAAUCUUAUUACCAAAUACAACAAUUUGAAGUGGAACUAUUCAUACUUCAAAUCUCUUUGUUCAAAUUGAUAAUUUAUGUUUCAUUAAACUAUACUCUCUUGUGUUUUAGUUCAUAGUUAAUACUGUACAAUUGAAAUUAACGUAUUUAGAAAACAAUGAAUAUCAACUAUACUUUGAUUAAAAUGUCAACUACAAUGAUCGGAUAUAAAUUUAGAUUGACUUAUAAUAAAAUAAUAAAAAUAAAGUAUUUUUUCCUUUUAUUUCUUAUGUUUUAAAAUAUCCAUUUUUUGUUAUUAAACAUUAUAAAUAAAUAUACAUUAACAUUUUUUUCAGUUUUUAUUUUUAUUUUUUAAUUUGGCUCAUGUAAUUAUUUUAGCAUAAUAUAAUUUUAUUUAUUUAUUUAUCGAAAUUAGCUCAAUAAAAAUAAACAUACAUAGAAAAUUACUUUUGAAUAAAGACCAUUUUUCAAGGCAAUAUAUCAAUACAAUAAUAAUAAUAGCAAUUUAAACUUUUCACUUUCUUACACUCUUACCUAUUGUACUAAGAAAGAUAGUAAAAAUGGUAAAGUAGCAACUUGUUCGCUACAAAUAAUUACGUUAAGACGGGUCGAAAGAAAGUGUUAUUUAAAAUGUUAAAAUAAUUGUGAUCACGAUUAAAGGAUUUGGAUGAUAAUUAUUUAAAUUUGUGUAAUAAAAAAAACUAUUACUCAAAUACAAGGAUAAUUCAACUAAUAUAAAUAUGUACCAAAAAAUUUGAAACUUUUAAUUCUUCAAUAAAUAUUUUAUUAACAAGGAAAGAAAGAACAGUUAAACUAAAGGUUUUGUUGAGUUUAACCAUUUUAAUCCGAAAAUUAGGAUAAGAUAAAAUCAUUACAAAGACAUAAAAACUCGCUGUCUACUAAAAAACAAGAACUAAAGGUGGUUAAACUCAAUGGAUAUAAAAUUUACGGGUAACGGCUAGAUCCUUCCAUUUUCUGCCUAUGGUAAAUAUGAUUCUUUUGUCAAGAUGAAUUUAUAAUUAAUCACGUGGUUCUAAGAGUUAGAAUUUAGUAUUUAUGAGUUGAUAAACUUGGAUGGAGGCCACCUAUAAUUUGAUUAAAACGAGAUUAUUUAUGAUGAUUUUAUAGAUGAUUGAAUUAUUUUGAGUGAAUUAUCGUACAAAAUUCAUAAAUUAGGGUUGAAAGGAAAAAGAAGAAAAAUCCAAAAUCCAAAAAGUGUAUUUUCUUAAUGAACAACCAAAAUUUGGUUAAGCAAUAAAAAAAAGAAAAGAAAAAAUUUCUUGUUUAGUGAGGGAGAUUAUAUGAUGGUUUACGUAUGUUAAUCUCUAAAAGAAGUUGGAUACGAUCUAAAAAUGGAGUGUUGUUGAAACAGUAGUACACUAGAAUCUUUCAAUUUCAAGAACGUUACUUCAAAAAAUAGCUCUUCAUUUGUUUUACGUAAUCACAAAUUAAAAUUCUUUAUUUGGCAAACCAAAGAAGAGAAAAGAACCCACCAUUGCCUGUAAAAUCUUUGAAAAUCUUUGAUCUUUAAGGAGACCCAUUGGAGUUGAAGUUUGACGAUUCACGACGAUGCUUAUAUCCACGUCAACAUCUUUUCUUCUCUCAAACCUCGCUCCCUAACUUCACCAAUCUCUCUCUCUCUCUCUCUCUCUCUCUGUUUUACUCAACUCACAAGCAUCUUCUACUUAUUUGCUUUCAAUUUACUGCUUCUACUGUGCUAAAUCUGUCUCAGUGACAGACCCAUUUAAGCAAUUGUCGGCGAUUACUGGGUUAUUUGUUGCUUUUCCAUUCUGAAUCUCGAAUUUCCCAUCUUUUGGUUGUGAAAUUGGUGUUAUCUGAUGCGAUUCAUUGUGGGAUGUUGAGUUGAUGCGUUUUACUUUACUGUAAUUGGAUGGAAGCAAAUGGGUUCACUGGAAAAUGGAUUUCCAUUGAAGAGAGACCCACUUCUUCGUUCUUCAUCGAGUGUUAGAGGGGAAAGAUACCCAUUUCUGCAGAGACCCAGAUCGAGGUUUUCACGGUUUUUGUUUUUCCGGAAGAUUGAUUACCUGCAAUGGAUUUGUACUGUGGCUGUGUUCUUUUUCUUUGUGGUUCUUUUUCAAAUGUUCUUACCUGGAUCAGUCGUGGAGAAGUCUGAGGUUGCUCUUAAAGAUGUGGAGAAAAGUUUAGGGGAUUUGAAGUUUUUAAAGGAGCUGGGCAUGCUGGAUUUUGGGGAGGAUAUUCGAUUUGAGCCGUCGAAGCUUUUGGGGAAAUUUAAGAAAGAGGCAAGAGAAGCGGACUUCUCAUCUUUUAAUAGGACAAGAAGUCGUUUUGGGUAUAGAAAACCUCAGCUUGCACUGGUAAGUUUGCUACCACAAUCUUAGCUAUAUUCAGGAAUUAGUUCAAAUCUUGAGCUCUUGCCAUUGUUGUUCUCAUUUAGUUGUUUUCUCUGUUAAUGCUUGCUUUAAGUUCUUCCAUGGAUUCUGAAUUCAUCUCUCUUACUUCAUUGUCUUGUGUAGAUUUGACAGUACAUAUGAGUCUUAUACUUCAAUUGAAUAUUACUCAAUUCAUGUCUGAUGUCGUUCAUAUUAAAAUUCCUUUUAAUGUCAUUGUCUCUUUUGUAGGUAUUCUCAGAUCUUUUGGUCGAUUCUUAUCAAGUGCUAAUGGUAACCAUUGCAUCUGCUCUUCAGGAGAUAGGAUAUGUAUUCCAGGUAAUUCGUUUUUGUAAAGACCAGAAUGUAAUAGUUGUUACAGAUUGUCUUCUUUAAUCCCGAUUCACCUUCUAUUAUGUAGUUUAGUUUUUGUGGGAUUUGUUGGUUAGGAAAGGAGUAAGCAUGCAGUAUUCCUGGAAUUCCCAACUUCAAAUAUCUUGAUGCUGUUAAUACUUGAUACUGUUGAUACUGCUGUUCUUCAUACAUCUUUAGAAUUUCCUCACAAUUGUUACUGCCUCGCUGGCCAUUCUUAUCUUUGAUUUUGUUACUCUAUUUGUACUUAAUAGGAUAAUAAAUGAGAAACACUGUUGGUUUUUUUCUCUCUUGAAAUCCUAUGGAUGAACAUAAGUUGACGCUAUCGAACAAUGCAACAUCAAAAUAUAAAGGUUGUAUCGUUGUAGGCUACACUUUGCUGCAGGAUGUUGACUUAAAUAUUAUUGUGAAGGCAUUUAUGAAUUUGUUCACCGUUCUAUACUUGAUACCCCCCCUUAUUGCUAUAUCAUACCUUAUCCUCUUCGUCUUCGUAGAUGCAUAUUUGAAACUACAUUAUUUGCUCAGAAUUCAAAUAUUAUUUUUCUUGUUUUGUUGACUUGCCAAAUUAGAAGUCUAGAACUAACUUCAUCAGCAUAAAGUUGCCUUAUUUACUUUAUAUGACAUCUGCCAUCAUCUGCCAUGGAAAUUAUAUACACAAGCAUAUAAUUGGACAAUUCAACUGUUUGCUCUACAGGUUUAUUCUCUUCAAGGCGGGCCAGCAAAUGAUGUUUGGAGGCAGAUGGGAGUCCCAGUAACUCUAAUUCAAAGUUGUGAUGAGACUGAGGUCAUGGUUGAUUGGCUAAAGUAUGUUAGUGCUACUUAUCUCAAUAUUUUGACCGAAUGACAUUUAUCUCUACAACGUUAUAUUAAAUUAGUUAUGUCUUGUUUCUUUUUCUAAUUAUUUUUAUGAUGUUUUUUUCCAGCUAUGAUGGCAUACUUGUGCACUCUCUUGGAGUGAAAGAUGUCUUUUCCUGGUAAGAAUGAGUUUGGUCUCUCCCCUUUCCCUUUUUCUAUUUCCCCACCAAGAAUGAGUGUAGUCGUUUGAUUGUCAUGAAAAAGUAUACUGCUUCAUAAAAUGUUGGAUUGGUGUUGCCAUUGCUUUAAUAGAAUUACCAUGAGUUACAUUCAGAAAAGAUGGUUCUUCGAAAAGAUGGUUCUUCGAAAAGAUGAACUUUGGUUUCAUAAUUGGGGGAGAAUUUCCGUAGUCUUCUGUUCAUUUGUGCCUAUUCUAAUAGAAUUACCAUGAGUUUUACAUUCACAUUCAGUAAAGAUACCGAUUCCAUCCUUGCCAAGAUACCCAAAAUAGGCCCUUGCAAAGUUAAACCACAGGACUUCCUUUUCUUUGCUGAAUCAAGAGAUUCCAUCUGCCUUAGAGGGCCUGUUCGUAAGGCGACGGCCCAACUAAAGUUAGAUAAGCAUGGUUUCCAAAAUAAAUCAGCAAAGGUGCAUUGUACAAAAAGAUGGCUGAUUGAUUCUUCUUCACUAUGUUGGAGAAGGACAGAAAUUGGGAGAAAUAAAGACCCAAGGACUGUGCCAGUGAGGCCAAGACUAAGCUCCCAUAAUUUUUAUUUUUUUAUUACUUGUUAUUAUUAUUUUUGAAAUGAGAUUCUUUCUGCAAAGAGUUGUAGAAAGCCUCAUGAAGUUAGUUCCGCAAAGAGUGUUCACACAAAACUGGGAGCUAAUGACUAAUAAUAUGUACCGUUUUAAACUAAAUUUGAUGACUUAGGGUUAAAUCAUCACUUUUUGAAAUGCCAAAACUGAAAUAGAACCUUUUCUAAUCACUCAAAGGACUAAAAGGGUAUAUUCUUUUAUUUUUUGAACUAAGAAAUAAAUUUUGUUCAUGUUCCCUUGAUUUUUAUAGUAUAGUUCAUUUUUCCUUUCUGUUUUAUUGUUCUCUGUUUACCUUUUUGCAGCUAAAUUUGUCUUCUUAUUCCAAGAAUUGCAUAUAAUAUUUCCAUCAUCAAUCCAUCUUAUUUGUACUAAUAAUUUGGCAAUAUGCAAAACUCUAUUAUUUAUUUCAAGGAGUGGUGUUUCUUGUCGCAGCUAUCUGCAGGAACCUUUCAAAUCCUUACCACUCAUCUGGACCAUCCAUGAAGAAGCCCUUGCCAUACGAUCUCAAAACUAUGCGUCAGAUGGGUUACUUGAUAUUUUAAAUGAUUGGAAGAGAGUAUUCAACCAUUCAACUGUUGUCGUCUUUCCUAAUUAUGUUAUGCCGGUAAUGGUUUGCUUAACUGCUGAUUAAUAUUAAGAUUAAACACAGAGAUGAACCAAUUGACUAACCUGUAUAUUGAGAAAUUGUUGGUUAGGAUUCAUGCUUUCAAAUGUUGCACAAUUCAAAAUAAAGAUUUUCCAAAUGACUUAUUUGGUAUGAAAUUUGUCAUUCGUAUUGUGUAUGCCAUCUUAAAACUCAUUGGGUUUUCAACUAAAAAAUCAUUUUUCAUAUAUUAUUAACCUGUGAUGUAAUGAAAUUUUCAGUUCUUAUUAAUUGGUUUUAUUAUAUCUAAAAUUUCCACAGAUGAUAUACUCUGCAUAUGAUAGUGGUAAUUUCUUCGUGAUUCCAAGUUUUCCUGCUGAAGCAUUGGAAGCAGAAAUUGAUGUCACCUCAGAUGCUGAUAAUCUACGUGCAAAAAUGGGCUAUGCAAAUGAUGACUUGGUUAUUGCCAUUGUUGGAAGCCAAUUUUUAUACAGAGGCAUGUGGCUGGAACAUGCGAUGGUUUUGCAGGCCAUGUUGCCACUACUUCAUGAGUUUUCUUUCUAUGAACAUUCCAAUUCUCGUCUCAAGAUAUUUGUUCUAAGUGGGGAUUCAAAUAGCAAUUACACGAUGGCUGUUGAGGUGCAUGUCUUCUUUGAUUUACAUCUCUUGUUGAUGAAUUGCUAGCUUUUAUUGACUCGUCCGGUUUCCCUUAGGCCAUUGCUCAGAGACUGGAAUAUCCAAGGAGUGUUGUGAAGCAUUUUCCUGUUGCUGCAGAUUCAGACAAAGCUCUAAGUAUGGCUGAUCUUGUUAUAUAUGGUUCUUGUUUGGAAGAGCAAUCUUUCCCAAAGGUUUUGGUAAAAGCCAUGGGAAUGGGAAAACCAAUCAUCGCCCCAGAUCUUGCCAUUAUUAGAAAACACGUAUGUUUUUAAUUUCUUAUUUCCUACUGUCUGGUAACAUGAUGCAGACAGGAUGAUGCUUGUUCAUAUUCUCACCAGUUCUAACAUGUCAUACAUUUGUUUUUCUUACAUAUUAAAAAAAUCAUAAGUAAGAACCAGUAUACAACAGAAUGGAAAGAUCGGAUAAUCCUUGGCGAAGCCAAAGUCAAAUGAGAUUGGAAGCAAGCUUCAAAUUAAAAUUAUUGUAAGUCAAAGUAUGGCGUAAUUACCGAAAUCUUAGGCACUUAACAGGACAGGAAAAAAUAAGAGUCCCAUGAAGUGUCAAACUUCUGUCUUCCCCUAAGAAAAGUUUCUCUCUAUCCCUAGCUAUGCUAAAUUCCAAAAUGAAGCCUCACAAAUUCGAACCUCAGAAUAUAUGAAGCACCAAAACAAGAGAUGGAUCUUAGAUCAAUGCAAUAGUAUCAUAGUAUGUAUGCAACUUAUUUCUUUUUAAAUCAGCCAUCCACAACUUAUAGUCCAUGAGCCAAGUCUAAAGGAUGAAAUUAACAUUUUCCUAGGUGAUUUCUUUCCAAAGCACCUUGUAGAAUUCCACGUAGAGAACCUCAUCUUAUCGGUUAUGGUCAAAUUAGUAAACAGGAAUGUUACAAGAAAAAUGGUAUGCAAGAACCAAUUUCAAACUGAUAGGUGGCAUCUGAAGAUGCAAACCUCCAAGAAUUAGAGUCAGCCUCAAUCACUCUUCCACCACCCAUCAUUGACGUUUCAUCUCAAGAGCAAGUGUUAUCCUUCAGGGUUUUAAUAAUUGUUGGAGUACAAGAUUUGUUAACAGUUAGUCUAGGCAGAGGAAAAAAAAUUCCACAAUUGUUUUUGAAGUUUGACCAUUUGUUCAAAUCCUGUUCAUAACAUCCUUUACUUCAAGGAAGCUAACCCAUGGAAUAGUCACCUCAAUCCUAUGCAUAUACAUCAAGUUAAAGCUAAUCCAUAGUUGAUAAACUAGCUUUACACCUACCAUGCACACAAAUCAAGAUAGUAUGACAGAGGAUAUGUUCUUUCUCUGUGACUACAAUAAUGAACAAAGAAAUUCAUUUAAAAAUUCUUCAUAUAUUGACCCUUGAUUCAGAAGUUGGAAUUUUGAGUCUGAACAAUGUGAUGUUUUAUCACUUAGAGAAAAGGGUAAAAUGUAUUGAACCUGCUUUUUCACCCUCUCACAAUUGAAUGUUUAUAGACUAGCUCUAUCAUGCUCUUUUUAUGUGCUUGACUUGAUACUGGUUUAAGACCUCUCUUUGGAGAUUCUGUGUUCUUGCUUAUAUGAGCAUAUUUUUGGUUCCUUGUUUCAUCUUCCCUCUCUUCUCCAAAUUAUCCCAAAGACUGUAGCAUCAGUGUUCUCUCAAGGAGGGACUUUUGGAGGAUGUUUGGAAUGUGGGUUAGUGUGACUGUCUUUGCUACCCCUCUAAAUUGCUUAGGAUUUCAAAUUUUUUAUUAAUGACAAUUGGAGUUAAAACUUUUUCCCAUUUUCACAGUCCUUGUAGUUGGUUGAAGUCUUUUCUGUGUAGUAUCUUCCUUCCUUUUGUACUUGUAUGAUGCCUUAUUUUUGUUUUAAAAGAAUACAUUUUUAAUAUGUGCAAAUCCUGGGCAAAGUACUGACUGCACUGGCAAUAACAACUAGGUUGAUGACAGGGUAAAUGGCUAUCUGUUCCCCAAGGGAAAUUUCAAUGUACUUUCCCAAAUUAUUUUGCAAGUGAUCUCGGAAGGGAGAUUAUCACCACUGGCUCAAAGUAUUGCUUCAAUUGGAAGAGACACUGUGAUAAACCUGAUGGUUUCAGAAACUGUGGAGGGAUAUGCCUCACUACUUGAUGCUGUUCUUAAGCUUCCAUCAGAAGCGGCACCAGCUAAGGAAGUUGCAGAAAUCCCAUCCAAAUUGAAAGAAAAAUGGCAGUGGCAGUUAUUUAAAGGGGUAUCAAAUUUGACUGUCCUGCAGAGGAACGAAAAAAGUUUCACAGUUUUAGAUGAAUUUGAAAAGAAUUGGAACCAUACUCCAAAAAGGAAGCCUGGUAGUUCUUUUGCUCUUAAUGAGUCAUUUAUAUAUGGUAUAUGGGAGGAGGAAAGAUAUACUGUGAUGUCUAAUAUCAAAAGGAGAAGAGAGGAAGACGAGGUAAGAUUAAAAGCAGCACAUCUCCAGUUCUCUAUAAUUUAUAACGAUUUUUUUCUCUUCAAUAUUGAUUUUCUUUCUUCUUGUUGUCUUUAUUACUUGAAUUUGGUAGAUAAAAGAUAGAACUGAACAACCUCAUAACACAUGGGAGGAUGUGUAUCGAAGUGCUAAGAAGGCUGAUAGGUCUAAGAAUGAUUUGCAUGAGAGGGAUGAAGGGGAGCUUGAAAGGACCGGACAGCCAUUAUGCAUUUAUGAACCUUACUUUGGCGAAGGAGUUUGGCCUUUCCUGCACCGUUAUUCUCUUUAUCGUGGAAUUGGGCUGGUGGGUUUCAUGAAAGAUUUAUCCCUGCUUUUUUUUCUAUGUGCAAAUCUGAAGCUGAGAUAUUUUCUGUAACUACCAUUCCAUGACAACUUUGUGCAUUUCUGCAUUAUGAAUCAUUAUAAUGAUUUCUUAAAACUUCAAUGGGAUUCCGAUGUCAACUGUUAACAUUGAUUCUGCUUAACUUCAAUGAUUUUCAAGAUCCGGUGUUGAUUGAUACUUGACUAAUUUAGAAUAUAAUAGAGAAUGAAGUCUAUGUUAAUCGUUCUUAUGUAAUCUCUAAAUGUUGUUUUGAAGUAUUUUGGUUUUUGCCUCAAGAUGGAAUGUCUUACGUAGAGAGUUUUGUAAUUGUUUUCCAAUUUCUAUCCAUGUCAAUUUGGAAGUCAUCGGGUUGUAGUUUCUAUCCUUUCAACUUCUUAUGUCUUUUCAUCAAUCAAAUAAAUGUUUUCUAAUUAAAAAAAAAGUAAAAAGGGGAAUUGUUGAAUGUGUGCUGGAUUUAAGGUGUUGGGGGUAAUUUAUUAUCUUCCCGUAGUUUCUCCUGUUUCUUUUCCCCUUUCUCUCUUUAGUGAAUGUUUCUUUACUAAACAAAUAUAUGCUUGAUGAAAGUUCAAUGCACUUUUCAAAUUUAUGAAAAGAACAUUUUAUUUUUGCAUCAAAAGCUACUCUAUUUACCAUCUUAAUAUAGACGUUCAAAUGUUAUUGUUGCAGUCUAGUAAAGGCAGGCGAUCUGGGAUAGAUGAUGUUGAUGCACCUUCACGACUUCCACUUCUCAAUAACCCUUACUAUCGUAAUGUACUUGGUGAAUAUGGAGCUUUCUUUGCAAUUGCUAACCGGGUCGACCGCAUUCACAAGAAUGCUUGGAUCGGUUUUCACUCUUGGAGAGCAACUGCCAGGAAUGUAUGUGACAUUUCUCCAUUCAAGUUUCUUUUGAAGUUUUGUAUCUUGAACUCACUUUUACAUUCUGUAGUUCUCUUCUACUGAAAAUAAGAAACAGACUACUUGAACUUGAAACAAUUGCUAAGGUUUGUGUCCAUGCAUUAGCUUGGUAAUUGGAAGUUGGAAAGCUAGGCUGCUGGCAUGAUCUUUAGAUUAUUUACACAAAAGAAGUGCACGUUUACACUGUCAAAUAAGAGAUUACAAAACUAUAUCAGCAGAUACCUCCCAUUAUCUUUUCUGCAUGAGCGUGAGGCAAGGAAAAUCCUCAUUCUUGCGAUCUUUCUGGAUUGCAGAACAACUUUUUGACAAAGAAAAGCAAGUCUUUUGUCUAACCAAUGGUGUGGUUCAACAGGUAUCACUGUCAAAAAUUGCAGAAACUGCAUUAUUAGAUGCAAUUCAAACACGAAGAUACGGAGAUGCACUCUACUUUUGGGUUCGCAUGGAUUCGGAUCCAAGAAACCCACUACAGCUUGAUUUUUGGUCAUUUUGUGAUUCCAUAAAUGCUGGAAAUUGCAAGUAAGACAUGAGAACUCAUGGCCCAAUCUUUGUACAGAUUCAUUUGAACUCUAUGCAUGCAUCAGAUAUCAAUUCUUUUUACUAAGCCAUUUUUGGUUGUAGGUUUGCAUUCUCCGAGUCUUUGAAGAUGAUGUAUGGUAUAAAAAGUGAUCAGGAAUUUCUACCGCCCAUGCCUGCAGAUGGAUAUACGUGGUCUGCUAUGCAGAGCUGGGCUCUCCCAACCAGAUCUUUUUUAGAAUUUGUCAUGUUUUCAAGGUUUGCUAGAGAUCUUUCUCCUAUCUUCACUGUGCUAUGGCUAUAGUUCAUUCAUUUGUUCGCCAUUGUUCUAUUGUUUAGGUUUUUUUUUCUUUCUGGUAUUUGCAGAAUGUUUGUUGAUGCAUUAGAUGUGCAGAUGUACAACGAACACCAUUCAACUGGACGAUGUUAUUUGAGUUUGUCCAAAGUAACUCCCCUCUGCAUUUGUGUUUCUCAUAUGUGAACAUGGAACCAUGAGCAUUUUUUAGCACUUGCCGUGUAGAUAAAUUUCAAUUGUUAUGUUGAAAUUCCUAGAGUUGAACUAUACUUUUUUGCAGGACAAGCACUGUUACUCCAGGCUACUUGAGCUCCUUGUAAAUGUUUGGGCAUAUCACAGUGCAAGGCGUAUUGUGUAUGUGCACCCCGAGACUGGCGCAAUGCAAGAACAACACAAGUUUGAUAUACGGAGAGGCCAAAUGUGGAUCAAAUGGUUUUCGUACACUAUGAUAAAGAGCAUGGACGAAGACUUGGGAGAGGAAGCAGAUGCCGAUCACCCCACGAGACGGUGGUUGUGGCCGUCAACAGGUGAGGUUUUUUGGCAAGGUGUGUAUGAGAGAGAGAAGAAUUUACGAUUUCGGCAGAAAGAGCACAGAAAGCAAAAGAGUAAAGCUAAACUAGACAGAAUGAGACACAGGAGACACCAAAAGGUGAUAGGGAAGUAUGUAAAGCCUCCACCAGAGAUGGAAAAUUCAACCACAACAAAUGGUACAGAAACUAUUUUGCAAACUAAUUAACUUGAUGGAAAUUGGAGGGUUAGUCAAAAGUAGAGCCUAAUCUUAAAUUCAUUUCAUUUUUAACAUCUUUUUUUUUUCUUAUCAUUUUUUCUGGAAGGAUGUCUUUGGGUUUUGUUUUUACCUCCUUUCUUUUGGUUCAAAUUUUAUUGUUAUUAUGUAAAAACUACAUCCUUCUUGACUGGUGCCAUUGUAUCUUUAUUCACAUGUAUUAUAUCGUGUUGUUUUUCCUGUUUAGUCCAUUUUUAUGGCAGUUCACUCCUAAAUGUAAUAUAUACUCUUUGGAAGUGAGUAAAUUCGGGUUUUUCUUAUCUUGAUCUAUGAUGAAAAUAUUAUUGGAAACUUAUAUUUUUCUCCAAGCUGUGUGAAUUUGGUUUAUCUUUGAAAAAACAAUUGUGGUAUCUUUUUAUCCUGAAGCUACUUCGUUCUUUUUCCGGGAUUUGUUAUGUCAAGAUUAUUCUAUAAUCUAUUUGUCUCGUUCAACAAGUAUUUAGACAGGGAUAAACAUGGUUUAAGAUCAUAAUCUAUUAUCGUGUUUGAAUUUUCAACAAAUUAUUACUUUACAAAGCCAUUUGAUUGGCAUGGAUAUAAUUCAACCAUCAAAUGUUCUAAACUUAUGAAUGCAAAGUUUUUGUUUCUAAGUAGGCAAUAUUUUUGCUUAGAAAUUUUUACUGUCUGAACGGGGCACGCACUCUUGCAGCACACCUCAAUGAAUGUAUGGUGAAUAGAGGAAAUUAAUUUGGAUAAUUGUGAACAGUAAGUUGGAAAGAUACUUAUGAACAACAAUGACUAUCGAUAACAAAGAUACAUUUUAUUUUUAUAUCACAAAGAUUCAUAGCGGGAUGAAAUAUCACAAAAUAUGGGACUUCACCACAAACAUACAUGAAUUCUAUCUCUCCGAUUUACUUGAAUUGAUUUUGAGAACUUUAUUUCCUUACAAAUGAGAGAUAUCACAAAGUAAUAUCAAGCUUUUAUGCGACCAUUCAACGUAUGAUGUCUUGACAUAGACACGCCACAUCCCCGCCUUUGUUUCUUCUUCCUCGCCAGCCUUUUUUCCAAGUCCUUCACUCUUCCACUCAGUUUAGAUAUGAUGGCUAUCUGUUCUUUGCCAGCCUCCAUCAACUUAUCCACCAUCUCUCUCAUUUUCUCAUUUUCUUCAACCAGUUUUUCGUCCAUCUCUCUGUCUCUUACCAAAUCAUGCUUGUCCACCGUCUCCCGCUGGGCAUUCGGCAAAGCAGGUAGGGACACUUCACCCAUCUCAAUAGAGGUUGCUUCCCCAGUAGCAUGUAACUCGUUAGCCUGGUUAUCUAACUUGCAGGAUGGGAUAUGUUCGAGUACACAUGGGUCUUGUAGCACGUCUUCUGCCAUUUUAUUUUUCGUAUCUGCAGUUUGUUGUUCAUUUUCAUUGGUUACCAUCUCGUUUUUUAUGUUCUCAUUACGGUAGGAUUCUGAUAAUUCCCCUAGCGAUUCUGCAGAUUGAUCACAUGCUCGUCUAGCCUGGUGGUUGUCCCACUCAUCUUCCAGCACCUUCUCCACCUCAUCUGUCUGUUGUCUGUCUUCAUCGGUUAACAAUUCGUUUUGGAUGAUCAGGUCAUCAUUAGAGUUUGAUUGCUCCCCUGGCAGUGCUGCAGAUUCAUCAGGUGCUCCUUGCUUCUCAGUAGGGCUUCCGUCACUAUCUAGUUUGACUGCUAAAUUAUGUGAAUUCUCUUCAGCCUCUGAUACCCCUCUCCUCAUCUCAACGUGCUCAAGCUUGUCAGUUUCGGGUUUAUUUGAAUUGCCAUCCUCUCUCAUUGGAAGUUCCAUAUCUGCAGCCUUUUCAUAAGGUGUUGAAAUGGUUAUCUUAUCAAUUGCUUCAGGUGUUUGUCCUGCUUGUGCUCCCACUUGAUCAUCAGAAUCGGGGCUCAAAACAUGAACUUCCAAAGAAUCUCUUACAGGAUGGCCAUCUUCUGAAAAAUAUCGGUGAUGAUGUAAAGUUUCUUCAUUCAUGUCCAUUUGAAGAACUUCAUCUACAUUUUCCUCUGCAUCAUUGACCAGCUUCACAUUCUGUUCCAUCUCAGCUCCUGAUUCAUCCUCAUCUGCUCGCUUUUCCCCCAUUAGCGAAGGCAUAACUUCUUCACCCUCGAUUUGGUUGGAGAAGUAUUGAGAAGACAAUCCGGAGGUAUCUUCAUUUUGACACCCAUGUUCUCUCGGUUUUGCAAGUUGUUCUGCUUCAGACAUGGUAUUUUGAUCGAUUACUUCCUGUAACUUGCCAUGUCCAUCCCUUGUCGGCUCAAGUUCUUCGCCUGUGGAGGCCUUCAUGCCUGCAAAGCCAGCCAUAUCGUCAACUCUGACAAGAGUUUGAGCUUCAUGCGACUCCCCCAAAAGACUGUCGCUUUCAUUUACCCCCUUGGGAAAGAUUUCACCGGUUGAUACUACAUCCUUCUGCUCCUGCUCCUCCUUUAUGUCGUCAUGGGUUUCCACAUCAAAAUGCUCAGUAGGUUUUUUUAUGGAGGCUUCAGGUACUACUUCUGUAGGCUUGUUAAUCACCAUGCAGUCAAGUUUUUCCUCAAGAGCUACAAGUUCUUUUGCCAAAGAUUUCCGAAACUCCCUUAUACUUGGAUGCAGACCCUAUUGAACGCAAAAGUAAAGAAGAUAACUUAGGAUAGGCCUUCAAAUCUAUAUUUUAGUUUCAAUUUAACAAAACGUAAUUGAUAAAGGAUAGAGAGGGAAUCUUAAAUUUUAAAUCUACUUCAGCUCGAACUGCGUUUAACCAUGGAUGGAAGAGAACUAUACAUUCUAAAACCACAGAUAUGUUCAGACUAAGAUUUUCAAGAUUUUAACAAAUUUAUUUUCACAUCCAUGGCCAGCAAUAACUACUCUACAUUUUAGAAAGAUAAAAGUUACCACUAAGCAAUAAAGGAAGCCAAGGCAUUUUGCAGCAGGAGUUUCCAAAUAUCGUUUAUGCAAUCAUUUUUCUAAAAAAGGAAAAGUAAAAAUUGAGCGUUGAUAAAAUACCUGUAUGGUGUCAAGUUUUAGCAACAGUCUCAUUAUCAUUUCUCCAACAAACAAUUGUUCUUUCUCAUCUUGAGGAGCCAAUUCCAGAGCUUUCACUCGAUUUUGAACCUCUAUGACCUUUUGACGAACUUCAACAAGUUGCUUCAUUUUUUUCAGAAGUUCCCAUUUCCUAACUCCAUAACCACGGUAAGCUGACUGAAUAAGCACGGCUGCUUCAUUAUCUGACAAGUUAGGUUUUUCAAGUUUCCCUUCUUCCUGAGCUGAGCCCCCUGAGCUUACCUCCAAUCGUUCAUCGACUGCCUUCUCAGGAGAUGCUUUGCUUAUUGCUUUGUCUUUCUCUCCAUAUUCUUCCCUGUGACUUUCCUCUUCUUCUUUGCAGAGCUUGUCAGCAGACUUCUCUUGAGACUUAGACUGCGUUGGCAAGCUUAGUGGCUCUCCAGUGCUAGAGACACUCUCCUUGUCCACUUGGUGAUUACCAUCAGGGGUCUCAUGGGUUUUCACCUCUACAGUCUUGAUGAUCUUUUCACCAUCUGGCUCUCCAGUAACAUUAUUGAUCUUUGAAUCCAGUUGAGAACUUCCCUUCACAGCAGUCGAUUGUGGAGAACUCGACCUUGAACUGCCGUUGCCAUUUUUUUUCUUUGCAGGAGGAUCCACUCUAAGACAAACAGGGGGCAAUCUUGAUUUCUUUGGCGAGGAUGAAGAUCGUCCUUUCACAUUAUUUCUAGACAGUUCCUCCUUUUCCUCAUUAUUUUUUACAGCCUCCACAGGGAUGCAUCUCCUUUCUUUAUUUUUCUUGGUGUCUUCAGUUUUGUGAAUCAUAUCCAUUUCAGGAAUAUUGAUCUGAUUUACAGUCUUCACAACUUCAGGACCUUCACUUGUAGCAUCAUCUUUUUUCAGCAUAUUUGUUGGCACCAACUUCCCAGCAUUAAAAGGUUCAUCACUAGGUCUUGCAGGAGCAUCAAGAUUUUGAACAUCAGCUUUUCUAGCAGCCUCCUCUCUACCAAAAGCAGGCAUCCAAAUAACAGGAAAUGGAAACUCUUUCUUUAUGUCCUCCUGUUGCUUAUUUUGCACACUUUGGUCCCCCA